RNAcentral lists this long non-coding RNA (51884 nucleotides) under Eucalyptus grandis. RNAcentral describes it as "long non-coding RNA (EGRA_LNC001017)". The record is from RNAcentral. Lineage: Eukaryota; Viridiplantae; Streptophyta; Magnoliopsida; Myrtales; Myrtaceae.
CAUAGCUUUGUUGGAAGUGAUCAAGUCCCUAAAUCCCCUCCCCCACGAUCUUUUCUUCUUUUCAAAGUAUCAUAUUUCUUCCAAUGAAGUCCUAUCUUGGCUUCAUUAUUCUUCCACCAAAAUGAAGUAAUUUUCUAUUCGAUGCAUAUGAAAAUUCAUAUUUUGAGAAUUGGCAUUGCAUAUUAAGGAAAGGCCCCACCACUACUUUGAUGAGGAUCUCUUUCCCCACCUUAGAUGGCAGCUUCUCUUUUCCAUCAUUCAAGCUUUAUGUUGACUCUUGUCAUGAUCCAUGUGAAUAUGUGCUUUUGUAAUUUGACCCCAAUUAGAUGGAAUCCUGAAGCGCUUUCCAAUUUUCUCUUACUGUUAGAAGGGAAUGCUUAGCCGAGAAACAAAACAGAAAGAAAGAGAGCUCACUUGAGGUGAGGAGUGCUCCUUAUUUUUUCCAAAGGGAUGGUGAGAAAAAGAGAGAAAAAAACUCAUGAGAAUCUGUCUAUCAACCAAAUCUAGAAGAUUUCAUAGGUGUUUUUGCUGAGUUUGGCUCAAAAUAGGCUGAAAGUCAACCAUUGUCUUCUUCACGGCCAAACGAUGAAGAAACCUACUGAGUUUGUUCACCGAUCAACGACCUCAUGAAGCUUAGUCGCCUCAAACUUUUGUCUUUAGUCUCAGCUAGGUAAACUCUCCUCUCCGAAUGCCCUACUAUGUCCCUAUUUUGGUUGAGUUUGAAGUUUUAUAUUGACGAUAAAUCCCAAUGAAUUGAGGGUGAUUCACUACUACCAAUGUUGAUUUUACAUCUCCUCUCCCCCGCCCCCCAAUGAUUGUGCGCUUAUGUGUUUGGACCGUGGGUUCACAUGCUACCCAUCAUUUGAAUCUUCUCGGUAUCAACCUGCAAUGGUAGAUGAAUCCGAACCCUUGUUCUUGUUUUGAGGCCCUCCAUAAAAGAAAAGAAAUGAAAAAAACCAAGUGUUUCUUGGGCUUUGUUUUUGUUCCCAUUUCCUUCUUUUGGCUAAAUUAUUAUUAGCAUGCUGAUCUGAGAUUGAAGUGAUGAAAAUGAAAUCCAUAUAUGAUUAUGAGGAGGGGCUAGAUCAGAUCAUAUUAUAGUAUUAUAAUUUAAAAUGCUACUCUUUUUUUUUUUUUUAAGUACCAUAGUCUUAGGCCUGAUAUAUGUGUAGUUGGUGCUUGACAUCUAUUUUGCUAUUUACCAAUCUACAGGAAAUGGCCAAUAUAUGGUUGGAGGGAUAUAAGUUUUUUCUUUUUUUCCUUGGGUCUAUCUUCAAAAAACAUUAUUUUUUUGGGUCUGUCUUCAAAAAACAUCAAUGCUCCUUUGUACUUUAAUUCCUGAGUUUUUUUCUUAGCCUUUUUUGUUUCUUAGGCAUUGUUGACUUAUAGUUGCUAAUGUUAGAAUUGGGUGUGCCAUAUGAAAUCCUGAUUGUGGCAUUGUUGAUAAAUUAUGUUACACAACAUGAGUUAUUACAGUUAAAUAAAGCUGCCAAUUGAAUUGCUAUCUUUUAAAAGAGCACUUUGUGUUUGGUUAAAUAUUAACGCAAACCACGCCUCAGGAGGUGGUUUCAUGGGUUAAGUCCAACUGAAUAAAACUUCAUUUGGGCCACUCUUGGGUUUGCUCUGCCUUGAUAACUACUUACUUGCAAUGCAGGGGAGACUACCUUGCCGAUAAUUAAACAUUAGAAAAAAAGAACGAAAAGCCAACACUUAAACAUUAGAAAAAGGAACAAAAAUUGCUCUCUUUGGGACUUUUUUGCCUUUUUGCUUAAUUCAAAUAAGAUGACAAAAGAACUUAAGCAUGUUUUGUAAUUGCUCUCUUGGGGUACGGUUUUGGUGUCCAUUUUGUUGCUGCGCUUAUUUUGCUACAUUUAUGUUGGUACGGAAGGAAAUCUCUGUAUUUUUUUUUUCUAGGGCUUGUGUGAACACUGCAUUAAAUUUACUAGGGACUUGCAAUAAAGAAGGAAACAAAGGAAACAAUGGUUUUUAUUUCCAAUUGUUACAUUUGCUUUAGCAUUCUAAUGUUGAGUGAAUCGUGGUGAGAAUGUAUACCUAUUGGACUUUGCUUUUUUAUUUUUUUGGAUUUGAUGACAUUGGGGCAGCAAUGGGUGUUUUUAGGCAUGGGUAGUAGCUAUCGGUUGAAUUAGUAUCUUAAACGUCACGCAUACAGCAUAGGCUCUUUAAACUAAUCUUGCAAGUCGAAAGUUUUUCACUUAUGGCUUGUGGUAUUUAUCAUGCUUUUUUAUUUGUGUUAAUGGAGAUUAUAUGGAUUGGGCUCUUGCUGGCUUAGGCCAUGUUUGGUACAAAGUGUUUCUGUUCUCCGGAACAAAAAUUUUUGUUUUUUUGUUUUUGUUCCCUGGAACAAAAAAAGAACAAAAAUGUGUUUGGUAAAACUUUUGUUCCCGGGGACAGCUUUGGAACAAAAACAAGAAGUAGAAAAAAGUUUCUUCUUGUUCUCGGGAACAAUUUUGAGAAACAUUUCUUUCUUCUUUUUUCUUUCCUUCUUCUUCCUUUAGCCAUGGCCGGCAAUCUCGCCAGAGCGUUGCCAGGCCACCGCCAGUUAGGCGUCACCUAACGGUGGUCCAACAAGGAGCCUCGCCAGUGGCCAAGUGAGGUCACCAGCGAGGCUUGACCUUGCCUAGGUGGCACGAGGUCAACCUCGCCAGGGGCCAACAACACUCCGAUGAGGUCGCUGACCAUGGCCAAGGCCAGUAACCGAUCAAAAGGAAAAAAAAAUGAAAAAAAAGAAAAAUAUUGAAAAAUUAAAAGGAAUAACAAAAUUAUACAAGUUUACCAAACACAUUUCUAUUUCUGUAAUAGAAAUUUUUUGCAGUUACUAAACGCAUUUUAAUGCUUAGAAAUUGUUCCCGGGAACAAAAAUAGAAAAAACUAUCUCUGUUAAAAAAUUGUUCCCCAAAACAGAAACGUUACUAAAUGUGUCAUUAAAGUGCUGAUUUGUUUCUAUUUAGAGACUUUUUUUUUUCAAUGGCUAGUUUUGUGCUGAUUUUUUGUAUUUUGUUUUGCAAACUAUACUUUUUUGCUCUUGCUGAUCAUUUAUUUAUAUCUCUCAAAUUUGUUCAUGUCAAUUUACUAAUAGACGACAAGUUCAUCAAAAGAAAAUGCAUUUUAGAAUUCAGAAGAUAUAGAAACAAUUUGUAAGUUGUGCCUUCAACAAAUUGAUAAUAUCAAUCAUUCUGCAAACAACAAAAAUGAUGAAUGGGCAGUCAUUAUUAAGAAGUUUGAGAAAUUACGGGGCAAAAUGUAUGAUAAAAAUCAAAUGAAGAGUAAGUGAGAUAAUCUAAAGGAAAAUUGGAAAAGAUGGAGGAUAUUGGUCAUAAAGGAAACAGUAUUAGGAUAGGAUCCAAAAAAGAAUACUAUUAAUGCAAGUGAUAAACAAUGGGAGAAGAAAAUUCAUAUUUUUAUCCAUUCUUUUGUUUUUUUUUUAUAAGUUUAUAUUUUUUUAUACAACUCAUGAACAUGUUUCUUAUAACAGGAAAAUUCUAAAAUAAGAGUUCGGCAUACAUCCAAAUCUUCAAAUUUUAUUGAAUAGAAUGUUUGGUGAUACAAUUGCUACUAAAAGUGUCACAUGGAAUCCUGUACAAGGCUUAUGUGUUGAUAAUGAUAUUGUGGCCACACAAUUUAACAUCAAUUAUUGUGCAUGAUUUGUUAAUGAUAAUAUAGAAUGUGAUGUGAAUGAAAAGACUAGUGAAUAGACUAGAAGCGAUAAAAGAACAUUGCAGAGUUCGGUGAGGCAAUCUCAAGAAAAUAAACAAAAGAAAUUGAGUACAACUACAAAACUAACAACGUGAAUGAAAAGAAUUUGUUCAGUUUUUGCAAGUAGGAGCCAUGUCGUAUCUUUUGCGAGAGAGUUGGAUCCUUACAAGGAAAUCAUAGAGAAGUUGAAAGUUACACCUAAGAUUAAGUAAGAUCAAGAGUUAUACUUUUUUUGCACUAGAUUAUUUUGCAGAAAAAAAAAAGACAAUAGGUAAAUUUUCAUGAAUUUGAAUGGUGAUUAAAAAAAAAAUGUUACGUGGUUCAAAUAUAAGUUUGCACAGCGUAAUUGUCACUAAGAUGUUAGCUAGUAUUUUAAAUUUUUCUUAUAUAACGUUGUUGUAAUAUGAUACCUAUUUGCACUACUUAUUUGUACUAGUCAAUUAGACUUGUUUAUGUUAUAUUGUGAGACCUAUUUAUAAUUUGUGUUCUCUUUAUUAAGGAGUUUGUAUACAUAUAAUGUCAAUAAGUGUUUUGUUAAUGGAUGAUAUAGAUAAUUUGUUGUAUUUCUUAUUCUAAUUUUAUUUUGUUAUUUUAACCAAUUAUGGAUGAUUAUCUUGAAAAGAGAAACUAUGAAAAAAAGAAAGAGGAAUAUUGGCAACUUUGUGUAGCUAGCAUACUUAUCAUGUUUACUAAGCAACAUAUGAUACCGUGCAUAACCUCAUCAUAUAUAGAAAAUGCAAGGCUGAGAGAGUUGAUGGGCACGGAUGUUAAUCCUGAAUUGUUUUAUUGAAUGUUUAUAAUGGAUAGAACUAUGUUUAAUAAUUUAAUGCAUGAUUUAAUGACAUGAUAUGAUUUCCAAGGAUCUAACAAUAUUGAUGUUGCAAAAAUACUAGAAUUAUUUCGUCGUAUUUUAAGACAUAAUAUGGGCAAUAAAUUAGAAUAAGAGCAUUUUCAGCAUUCUAGAAAAACCAUAAACGGUCUAUUUAGCUUGGUUUUGGAUAAAAUAUGUGAAAUGAGAGCAAAUUUGAUCCAAUCAUCCGAUCGACAAUUUAGGAAAGUUCAAAAGAAGAUCAGGCAUAAGAAUAGAUUUUAUCAACAUUUUAAGGUAAGUUACAAUUAUACAAUAGAAAAGAUGAAUUGAAUAUAAAUUAAGUAAUAUUUGUAUUCUUGUUUUAGGAUUGCAUUGGAGCUAUAGAUAAUACUUAUAUCCCAGCAAUGGUACUUACGAGCGAGCAAUUUUUUUUUUAUCGAUCAAAAAGGAACACCGACGCAAAAUGUAUUAGUUGUGUGCAAUUUUAACAUAGAGUUUAUUUUACGUUUGGGCUGGUUGAGAGGGAACAAUUCAUAAUACUCAUAUUUUUUAUGAAGGCAUUAGAAGAUGUGAUUUACAAUUUUCUCAUCCUCCAAAAGGUUUAUUAAUUAAUGAUUUUUAUACAUUAAUAUAUGUAUGCGUCAUAUGUUGAUUAAAUUUACAAUAUUUUUGUAUAGGCAAACAUUAUUUAGUAAAUGCCGAAUAUCAAAUUCCACAUGUUAUUUGGCGCCAUACAAAAUGGUUAGAUAUCAUUUGGCUGAAUUUGAACGAGGUUCUCAGCUAGCAAGUUAUAAAUAAAUGUUCAACCGUGCCCAUUUCUCACUGCAAUAAAAAAUUAAACGAGCUUUUGGUGUAUUGAAAAGAAAGUGAAAGAUUCUAAAGAGUAUGCCAAGUUAUCCAUACAAAAAACAAGUAAAAAUUGUAACAACGGCAAUGAUUUUGCAUCAUUAUAUACGAAGAAAUGCUGUGAAUGAUGUACAUUUUAUUAGAGUAGAUUUUGAUCUCAAUUUAUAUACUAUGGUUUCUGAUGAUGUAAAUGAGGAGGGUAAUGCUUCAAAUGAUGAUAUGACAUUUGACAUAGCACAUUUAUGUGAUGAAAUAACUAUGAAUUUAGGAAAUAGUUAAGGAUGUUUGUAAUUUUUAAAGAUAAUGAAUUUCUUUCUUUGCUGCAUAUGUUACCAUGUUUAUUGUAAUGAAAGUAUUCUUCUUGCAAUUGAGAAAGAGACCAUGGGAAUUUUUUCCAUUUGAUAUUUUAUCAAUUUAAACAAAUAAAAAUUAAAAAGCUCACAUUAAUUACCAUGUGAAUUUUUUUCCAUUUUAUAUUUUUAGCAAAAAAAAUAUUUUUUAAUAAAAUUGUUUACAUGAUAUCUUUAACAUUGUUAUCAAAAUAUAAUUCAAAUAGUUGCAAGUAUUAUUUUUUUCAAUUUAAAUAAAUAAAAAUUAAAAAGCUUAAAUUAAUCACCAAAUGAGCUUCUCAAAUAUAAGUAUUCUACCAAACAACAUUCCUCUCAAAGUAGAUUUUCAAAGUAGAGUUUAGUAAACGAUCUUCGCAUUUCCUCAAAGCCCUUCAAGCUAAACUACUUUACAUUUCCCCAAAGCCUCUUGGAAAAACUACACCAAAUGCACAUUUUGUUUACGUCCGAGUUUAAUUCAUUUUCAUUAAAUUAAUUGAUCAUACCGAAGUCUCUGCCUUGUUUUUGUGCUUUGUAUGUUGCAAUUCGCACAUCAUUGAGUUAACUAUGCACCCCCUCAAUCGAAAACCUUUUUUGCGCCGAAGAAGCCAGUAGUUCGAAAGCGCCUCUAAUCAAUCCAUUUCUCAUCCUUUAAUAUGCAUCUGCAUAUUCUUUAUGCUAAAAUUGUUAGAAUUCUAUCAUAUGCAAUUUUAAAGCAUAUUUCGUUAAAGAUGGUUCGGCAACACAAAAACCGUCAACUAGCUAGUGGUUCGCAGUGAUUUAGCACCGGUUGGAGUAGCCAACUGACGAGGGAGUGUUCAACGAAGGCUCGAGAUCCGUUGGGAGCUCGGCUGGAGAAAUGGUGGUUUAGUGAAUGACAUCUUUUAGUGGAGAAGAAGGCUCACGAAGGAGAUGAGCAAAGGAAGAAGAAAAGGAAAUAGGGAAUAAACAAGAAGAAAUAGAAAAUAAAAAUAAAUUAUUAAUUAUUAAAAAAUAUUUAAAAAGUCAUAUAUAAUCUAAAGCAGGUUGAAUCUAAGUAGUAGGCUAUGGGUGAGUUUGGGAACUACUUUUGGGGAAAGUCCUUGGGAAAAUGCAAAAACCUUAGAGUUAAAGGUGUUUUUUAAAAUGCAACCGUGUUUGGUAAAUUGUACUUUGAAAGCCCCUUUGUGAAGUACUUUGAACAAAAUAAUGUUUGGGGAAUUGCAUUUACAAAGAUCNNNNNNNNNNNNNNNNNNNNNNNNNNNNNNNNNNNNNNNNNNNNNNNNNNNNNNNNNNNNNNNNNNNNNNNNNNNNNNNNNNNNNNNNNNNNNNNNNNNNNNNNNNNNNNNNNNNNNNNNNNNNNNNNNNNNNNNNNNNNNNNNNNNNNNNNNNNNNNNNNNNNNNNNNNNNNNNNNNNNNNNNNNNNNNNNNNNNNNNNNNNNNNNNNNNNNNNNNNNNNNNNNNNNNNNNNNNNNNNNNNNNNNNNNNNNNNNNNNNNNNNNNNNNNNNNNNNNNNNNNNNNNNNNNNNNNNNNNNNNNNNNNNNNNNNNNNNNNNNNNNNNNNNNNNNNNNNNNNNNNNGCCGCCCCCGGAUCUGGGACGGCGAAGGUCGCGGGAGGUCGCACGGCGACACCGCGAACCCAGAUCCGUGGGCGGCGAGGCACGACCCAGAUCUGGUCGCCGCUCGAGCCUCCGGCACCAGAUCUGGUCGCGACCAGACCUGCAACUAGGUGGGUCGCGCGGCCCCGGUGAGCUUCGUGCGGAGGUCGCGAUGCGGCAGGCGACGGUCGCCGGUGACCGCGUGCCUUUUGGCCACCAGAGCUGCGACUUGCGGAGGUCGCCCGAAGCUCCGACGAAGAUCACGUAGGUCGUGGCGUCUCUUUACGCCCGGAGAAGAUGAACAGUGUCGACAAGGGCACGCAUCUGGAAAAUCCAAAAAUUCGUGAGGAUAAUUUUGGAAAAAAAAAAGUGUGAACAGUGCGGGCGUGGCAUGCCGAAAAUGCCGAAAGCCCAAGGCAGGUCUCCCCCUGCCUUGGGCUUUCAGCCUUCAAAAUGCAAACUUUCAGCUAAGGAUCUUUAGAAAUUUUUUUCCCAAACGCCUGUUUUUAGCCCAAAGGGCUUUGGAAGCCCAAAGUAGCUUUGAAAAGUCGAAUCCAAACGCAGCCAUGUAGCACGGACACUCUCCGGAAGCCUUCGUGUCGUGUCCGACACUUCGACACGUGUUCGACAUGCUCCAACACGUCCCGACACGCUCCGACACGCUCCGACACGCGGUCAACGAGUGUCGAAAAAUCCAACAUGUGGUCAACUCUUUCCGACACGCUCCGACACGUGAGUCCAAAAUUCCGACACGCGAUUCCGACACGCACGAGGUCAAUUUUAAAAAUUUAUAAUACUUGAGGGGUCAAAAUAUAAAUAUACACAAAAAAAGUAAUAAAAGAAGUAAUAAAAUUGCUAUAAAUAUACACACAUGGGGUCAAUUUUUUUUUCAUUUUUAUUUUUUUAGAAUUGUUUUAUUUUUUUAAAAGUCUUUUACUCUGAAAGAAGUAAUAAAAAAAUGCUAUAUAUGAUAAAUAAAUAAAUUUAAAAAUAUCAUUUCAGCAUUUUUCUUUAAACAAUGUUUUUUUCCUCUAAGUUUUGUUUAUUAUUGUAACAAAUUAAAAUAAUGAAUGAUAUUAUUUAAUAUUUUUUGUGUAAAUUAAUUCUAGGCUAUUUUUUUUAUUAUUUAUUUAUGUAUUAUAUAUAAAAAUAUAUCUAAUAUAUAACGUGUCGGAACGUGUCGAAAUUCUCUAUUUUUAAAAAAUGACGUGUCGAUGUGUCGUGUCGUGUCAUGUCACGUGUCACGUGUCCGUAUCCGUGCUACAUAGGUAGUAGGAUGUGGCCCAAUAGUUGGGUUAGAUGGAAAGCCAAUUGUGGGCUGGUUUGAGCUUGGUUUAGAAUAAGUUGGACUUGGUUUUGUUGUGACUAAAGAGGGAUCAAGAAUGCCCAAUCCUCAAUGGAGUUGCCCUCAACAGAUAGAUUUAGAGAUAUUUACUUGAAAGAUGUUCCGAAUUAGUACCCUUAGAAGACGACCUGAACACAUCAUCCAAUAGGUAAUCUAAGAUGGUACAUCAAUUUCAAGCGCAAGCUUUCCUAAGCCUAUAACUCAUGACAUUAGAAUUAUCAUUAUAAAUUCAAAUUAACCUUACAAAAAUCUACGUGAGGAGGCGCCAUUAGACAAUUAAGGUCGGUUGAAAACCAAUUGAGACAUGGGAGUGUCAUCUCAAUUUCUAUGGAACAAGAUAUUCUAAAUUCAAUCUCCGAUAGAGUCGCCAAGUUACCGCGGCCUACCCUUGAGGGGCCACUCUUGGGGAAACAAGUUUAGAGGAUCGGCAUCCUUAGAAGACGACUUAAAGACAUUAUCUAAUUAGUAAUCUAAGACGGUCUAUCAAUUUCAAGCAUGGGCUCUCUUAAACCUAUACCCUGCGUGACGUUGAAUUUUUCAUUAUAAGUUCGAAUUAACCCUACAAAAUUCUACGUGAGAAGUCGCUACUAGUCAAUUACGGUCAGCUAUAAACAAACUGAGAUGUGGGAGUGUAGUCUCGAUGUUUACAAAACCAAAAAUUUCAAAUUCAGGGACUUGAUUACAUUAUUUUUACAACUAAUAUCAUCUUGGUACCUAAACUUGAUUAUAUUGUCAAUUAAAGUGUUUUUUAAUGCAUUAUUUUCAUUAAAUAUAAGGUUAAUCCACUAAAUGUUCAUACGAUAUUUUUAUUGAAAUCCUAAUUGUGCUAAAAGUGAAAACAACAACUAAUGUAUGUAAAUUGCGCAGUCAAGUGUGAUCAAAUUUAAAUGGAAUAAUAGCAAUCUAAGAUUAUCUCUGAAAAAAAAAAACAAUACAAUACAAAUCCCUAUUGUAAAAUUCCAUUUAAGACCCUAAAUAUCUAGUGGAAUCAAUUAAGGGCAAUUUUCUGAACAUUUUUCCAUUUUUUCUUUUUUAAUUAUUUUUCUCGAAAUUUUUAUAUUUUUUUCCUACUUUACUGAAUCUGUAGAUUUUUAUUUGUUUAUUUCAAAUUUUCUAUUUUUUUAUAAUUUUUUAUGAUUUUUUAUUUUUUUAUUCCAAAAAAUUACCUUCGGACCGAGUUAGCAGACCCGGCCCGACUCACUGACAAGGACCUUUAAAUUGGGCCAGGCCUUCCGCCCAGUCCAAUUUUCCUAAAAACGGCCCACAAUUCGGCCUACCGACCUGAUGAGCUCGAACUCUUACACUCUUACAGUAAUUAAAGCUCAAUCCCUCUUCAAUCAUGAUAAACGAAUGUCCAAUUAAAUCCAAACCAAGCCCAAACUAGCCCGCAAAGCUGGCUUUCGACCACCUUUCGACCAAACCCAACCAUUGGACCCGAUCCGAAUACCCGAAUCUGACCCGAUUAGGAUUAUGUCCGGAUUUUUAAAUACUUUUCUUUUUUUAUUUUAUCUGUUAUUUUUUUUCUAUUUUUUUAAUUUCUCUCUCCUUAUUUCCUAAUUCCUUUUUUUUUGCCCUCUGUUCAUCUCCUUCCCGAGCCUUCUUCUCCACUUAAAGACGUCCUUCACCAAACCACCAUUUUUCUUGUUGAGCUCCCACCAAAGCUCAGGCUUCCGCGGAAUGCUCUCCAUCAGUCGACUACUCCAGCCGACGCUAUAUUACUACUGGCUUCUACGUCACCAGACCAUCUCCAACGAAGGAUUCUUUAAGAUCGCGCGUGACCGAAGCCUAACAAAUUCUAGCAUAAACAACGGGCAGAUGCAUAUUAAAAGAUGAGAAAUGGACUAACUACGUGGCCUCGAAUUGUUGGCUCCACUGGCGCGGAAAAGGUCUCCUGUGGAGAGGGGUGCACGACCGACUUAAUGAUGUGCGAAUACAACGGAUGAAGCACAAAGACGAGGGAAAGACUUUAGCGGGAUUGAUUAAUUCAAUAAGAGGGGAAUUAAGUUUGGACUAAAACGAUAUCAAAUAAGCAAAACAAAAAUAGGCCACUUAAGCUUGGCCUUUAGUUUGAUUGAUUUCCAAGUGGUUCUUGGCCUAAUAACGAUAAACAAGAUCUUAAAUCAACACUAUUAGCAACAAAUCACCCUCACUUCACUAGGAUUUUCACAAAAUCAUCAAUCAAUUCUAAAACCUCAAUCUCGGCCAAAUAAGGAUGGAGUAGGGCAUUCGGAGAGGAGAGUUUACUCGAUCGUGACUGAAGAUAAAAGCUCAAGGUAGCUGAGCUUCACAAGGUCAUUGGUUAGUGAACAACUUCAAUAGGCUUCUUCGUCAUUUAGCCAUGAAGAAGCCAAUGGUCGGCGAUCAAGAAUUUCAGCCUAUUCCGGACCAAACUCAGCAAAAACCCCUACCAAAUCUUCUGGGUUUGGUUGAUUUCUAGGAAGAUUCUCGUGAUUUUAUAUUUCUCUACUUCUCACCAACAUCUGGAAAAAAACGAGCGCUUCUCCCCUCUAGCGUGCUCGCUCUCCUUCUGUUCUAUUUCUCGAUCGAUCGUACCCCUCUAACUCCCUCACAUAACAAACUCGGCCUCUAAAAGGUUUUGAAUUUGCUCACCUCACUUGCUUGCUCACUGUGCUUCGCUCACGGACCAUUCACUCUCACCUUUGCUCAAUCAUAGUUCCAGGCUCACGAGCGGGAGCGUGGGAAGGCGGGAAAGAACAGCGUGUGUGAGGGAGGAGAAAAGAACUAGGGGGCCAGGCCCCUUGGGCCAAAAAGAAAUAAAACUUGGCAUUGGAAUAACGAGCUUUGGUCAAUCAUGGGCAUGGGCUAAAUAAAACCAGCCCACCCAAUUUUGCUUUAUUUAUUUUCAUUCUUUCUUAUUAUUUAUCAAAAAUUCUCUACUCUUUUAUUCUUAUGGCCCUAUUUAUUCAUGUUUAGUAUUAUUGCACUAAUUUUGUAUUUUUUCUUUUUUUACUGUAAUUUUUUUGUCGUUUUUAUCAUCUUUAUUUUUUUUAUUUAAUAAAACAAUGUGUCAAUAGUAUGCCGUGAUGUAAUGUUAAGGAAUGAUUAUUAUCAUGUGAAUGUACAGUAGUGUAUUUGUCAUUGCUAAUAUAGAGGACACUAGUAAUGAAUGGGCUAUGACAAAGAAUAUGUAUGACUCUGUCCCCCCAUUAUGAGUUGGUGAAGAUGUCGCGAUGCCUUGUUAAUUGAGAUGGUCCUAGCUAGUGAUAAGUAUGGAGUCACCUGCGUGUGUUUGUCAACUUCAUAACAAGUGUGAAUUUGCCUAUGUAUAUUCAUGCGUGUAGUGGUAAACUAUUAAGUAAUACUAGUGUAUCAUAAAAUAAUAUGCCAUUUGCUUGUUUUUGAGUAAAUGAUCUUGUAAUGUACAUAUCAUGACAGUAAAGAUAAAGCAAUUGCUUAUGCAUUUGUCAUGCAUAAUUAUUUUGCAAUGCUUGAACUCAUAUUAUUUGCUAGUUGUUUAUUAGUACCGGGAUAAGUGAUAAGAUAACAUUCUACGUUAGACUUAGAGAUUUCAUUUAUUAGGCCUUAGCUCGCUCCUUUUUUUUCAAAUUUGUAGGAUGGUUCCCCUAGACAUGGAAAUGGAGGGGAGGAAAUGAUGUUGGAGACCAUCAAUCCUUGAGUUAAAUGGUGGUUUGGUUAGUAUGGCUGUAAUAGUGUUAAGUGACAUUGACCUUUUCUAGGAUUAUGUAUUUUGUUGUGAUAGUAACUACGGAUGUUUUUAUAAAGUUAGAAAAAUGUAUAUUAUCAAACUCAUGCAAUUUUCUUGCAAGAGAUGUACUGAAAAUUAUAUUAUGCUUCCGAAUGCGUAAUUAUAAUUAAAAAAAUAUAUGGCCAAAGAGAACAAGUGUCGCUCAUGAUUUUCUGGGGCAUCACACCUUAAAUUUAAUCAAUGUGUUCAAAUGGGUUCUCAAGUGAAAAAUGCUAGAUAAAUUCAAAGGCUUUUUUUUUUCUUUUUGGGACUACUCUUUCAUUGCCUUUUUUUUGGCUACCAUUUUCAUGGCUUGUAUUCUAAGAACCCAUUUCUCUCUUCUUGCCAUUAUUUCCUGUAACCUAGCUUAGAAAUAUCAACCGGAUUCGUCUGACUGGAUUAAACGGAAAGCCAAGGUGGUCGUCUAGAGGGACAAAAAGGUACAAAAAAUGCAUUAGAUUUAUUUAACUUAACCAAGUAUUUGUAUCCAUGAAAUCUCUAAUUUGCACAAUUAAUAUGUUCUCUAACAUUUUAUUUGGGUUUCUAAUCGACCCAUAAUAGAUUAGUGGUGAUUCCAAAUUAGAUUGAUUUGCUUGUUUAAUUAAAUAAAUCAAAAUCCCAAAAUUGCUAUUAGUACAAGCUUGGUAGAGUCCAUGCUAAGUGUUUAUUUCAUAGUCUAUUGGUUUUUCCUUGAUAGUUUGCCUUUAUAUAGGCUGCGAAAGUGUUUUCUUAAUUAAGUUUGGCUAAAUAUUUGAAUUAUGAAAUUGAAAAAGCAAGAAUGAUAAACCAAUACAACUCUGGAUGAGGUUCUUCUUUUAUUAUUGUAGAGAUCCUUAAGAAAAAAAUAUACGUAAACAGAAAUAUUGUAAUACUUACAAAAAGAGCAGAAAAUGUAACAAUAAUAUAGCAUAUUUUUCUAUUGAUUUAGCAAAUUUAUUGAAAUUAAUAACAUAUUAUAAAAUCUGAGCAAGAGUAUAAUUAUGAAAAUUUGUGAAUUAUAUCAAAUGACUGAUUUGACAUUAUUUUGGCAAGUUGAUGAUUAAAUUGAACAAAUUAAAAGUUUAAGAAUUAUAUUUAAAUAUUUUUAGGUCUAAUUUAAGAAUCAUAUCAAACAAAUUAAAAGUGUAAGGAUGGCAUUGCACUUCAAAUAUAAGGUGGGGAUUAUUAGUAUCAUUUUCCAUUAGGAAGACAAUGAAAAUUGAUAAUGUGAAAACCAAAAGAAACUUUUUUUUGGUUUAUAAAGAAAACAAAGGGAAAUGGAUUGUAAGUUUUGACUUCUUUGUCUUCUCAAGUGCAAGUUUUGUUGGUGCGGAGUCUCUUUUGCUGUAUAGGUUUCUUGGUUAAAAGUUAAUAUAUAUCUUACAUUUAACAAAAAAAAAUAAAAAAGGAAAUGGAUUGUGAGAAAUAUGAGGAUCAGUUAUUUUGAUUGCGAGAGAUCUCAACGAUAUCAACAGUCACUGCUAGCCACUCCCUUGACUGGUUUAUCUCCUCUCUUUGUCAUCAUUUUGUUCUUUUUUAUUAUUAGCCUACUUCUUUUUAUUAAUUAAAAUUUUGUUUCUUUAACUUUUUUUAAUAACUAAAAGCAAUCUCAUCAACCCGUUAAGCUAAGAGAGCGUGAGAAAAUUGGAGGAUCAAAUAGUUUUUACUUAAACUUCAUAGUCAAAGUCGUUGGCAAAUCAAAUUCGGCGUGUGGAGGAUCUGUUUUGAACUUGCUUUUAUUUCUUUUAUUAUUGUGGAGAUCAUUAAGAUAAGAUAUACGUAAAUAGAAAUAUCGUAAUAUUGAUAAAAAGAACAAAAAAGGUAACAAAAGGAUAGCAUUUUUUUUUAUUGAUUUAGCAAAUUAAUUGAUAAAAAAACAUAUUAUGAAAUCUGAGCAAUGGUGUAAUUAUGAAAAAUUGUGAAUAAUAUCAAAUGGCUUAUCAGUUGAUGACUAAAUUGAAGGUACUAAAAUUUUAUGGAUUAAGUGAAACAUUUUUAGGUUUUGUUCAACGAUCAUGUCAAACAAAUUAAAAGCGUAAGGAUGACAUUGCAUUUUAGACCGAAGUUGAAGACUAGCGAUGUCAUUUUCCAUUAGGAAAAUAAUGAUUAUUGAUCAUUUGACAAUUAAAAGAAACUUUUUUUUUUUGGUUAAAAAAAUAAAACAAAGGGAAAGUUUAAGGGAUUGUGAGAGAUCUCAAUUGAUUGAGAUCGAGGUACUCUUUUCUUAUUUUUAUUUUUUGGAUCGUGAAAAGUAGUUUCAUUAAUUAUUAGGGAACUAAGCCUAUAUUCAGUGGUAUUCGCUCUUGAUAGAAUAUGUCACAGCUUUAGUGUUUAUCCACACUAAUCUAUCUUCCUUUAGAAUCGGAUUUAAAGGAAUAACGGUGAUUUUCUUCACUAUCUAUUCAUCAAAUAAUUUUUGCAAAAGAGCUUCAUUCCAUCUUACUUCAGGUUUCAGGAUCAAAUCAGCAAUCCUUGUGGGAUCUUCCCUAUUUGCAUGUCCUUCCAAUACUCCCAUUUUCAACCACUUAUCCUCUCUAAUUUUAAUUUUUCCCCAUUCCAAAUAGUCCACGUCACAUUAGGCAAAAUGCAAUCUCAACCAAUUCGUAUAUUCUGCCAACCCCAUGAGGGGCAUAUUCCUUUCCUUGCUUUCUAGAAAUCACUAGCUGAGAAAUAUAUUCCCUUAAGUAUUUGGCUCCAAAGCAUGGAAGGUGAAUUCAACAAUUUCCAAGCUUAAUUCCCUAACAUUGCCUUAUCGAAGGUAAUGAGGUCUUGAAAGCCUGAUCCAUCAACCUCUUUACUGAUUUCGCUUCCAUUCAUACCAAUUGAUUGCCUACCAAGGAACUCCAAUCCUACAAAAUAGAGUUAAUCCUUCAGUAAAGGAAUAAAAAAUUUCUAAGUUUUUUUUUCAUCACCAUCAUGACCUAGAAUUUACCUUCGGUUUCUAACGAGCAUCCCUAAGAAGAAAACACGCCCCAAAUCUCAAAAGACCAGGAUUCGAUUUCCGCUAUUAAUGUCACCAAGACUCAAGAACAAAUUACUUGGGCCCAAGAUGUGCAUUGGUAAAUCCUUCUGGCUUAGACAAAUCUAGGGCAACCCAUCCCGGGCUAGCCCGUAAUGGGCUAGCCUAUGGUGGGCCAUCCUUACCAGGGGCUACCAUUUUAGAUGUAGCCCAAUCCAUGGUUUUUCAGGCUGAGCCCAAGUGCAUCAUCGCUAGGGAUUCAAGGCCAACAAGGCUUUGUCUGACCCGAUGGCAGCCCACCAACUGUAAACGGGUUAAGCAUGACCAGCGGAUUGGAUCCAAUAAAUGCGAGGCAGGCAACCGGAUCAAACAAACCGGGUAUGGGAACAAAUCCGUACUCGACUUUCCUCAAUGCAGGUCAAGGAACCAGGUCAAACAAUCUCGGUAUGGAAGCAAAUCCUUACUCGAGAUUUUCGCUCGGAUUUUUACUGUAUCCAAUCGCGGCCAUCACCAAUUGUCUAGAAGUUGGCAACCCUCUAUUCGUGUUUACUGCUGACGGACCAGAACUACGGCUCAUCAGACAACAAUUGUCCAGGCCGAAGAACUAUUAUAGGUGGUUGCAAGAGUUCUGGUGAGCCCUUGUGACAAAUGAUAAAGAUAGGUUCCUUGACGGAACUGUCCUGAUCCCCUUGGACGAGCGCCUGGCUUGACACUGGAGAAUAUGCAACCAACUCAUCCAUACUUGUAUCGGGAAUUGCAUAUCUUUAGAAGUCGCAGACAGAAUUCCACCAAUAGAGGAUGCAAAAAACAUGUGGGAAAAUAUCAAAGAAAUGUAUGGUAAACUGGAUCGAGCAAAUAUUUUUUUCCCUCAUGCAAGAACUCAGCGAGUUUAAGCAAGGGAAUAUGAUGAUCAUAGCUUGCUUUAACAAGCUACUGUUACUGUGGAAUGACCUUGAAGCGGUCGAAGAAAAGCUCAAUGGAUCAAAAUCAACGCUUAAGAGUACAAAUCUAUUAAGGAAAGGGAGAAAGCCACACGAUUCCUUUUGAUUUGAAACAAAUCUUACCUUACUUUUUGUUCAUAGAUUCUGGCCAUGUACCCAGUACCGCCAAUCGGCCGAAUUUUUCAAUUGGUCGUCUAGAGAAAAGCCAGCGACUUGCGUCACUAGAACACACGAAGGGCGAUGAAAGCAUGCCCUCGCAGCUCGUGGUGAAUGGUGAGAGGCAACCAACGAAACCCUAAGCCAAGAAAGGGAACGAAGAGGCACGCUAGGGCUAGGGUUUGGCAAAGGAGACGCGCAUGGCCUUAAAAGAGACGGAACGAGUGGACCAAAUUGCGUGCAUGGAUUGAAUGGCUCACAGGGGUUCGAUUAUGUAAGUGGAACGAACGAUGGACAAUAAUUUGUGAUUAAAGGGAUGGAUGGCUAGAUCUUUGCCACGUCAUCAAGAAAUUUUGGGCAAAAUUCAAAAGGGAAAGAUAAAUUAUUUUUUGAAUAUUGUAAAUGACCUCACCAACGAUUGAUAGCUGUUGGAAAUUACAUGGAAAACCUGGAAAGAAAUGGAGAAAGAAAGAAUUUUCAACAGCUUACCAAGUCACUGGACCCACUAAGUGCUUACCAACCUAUUACGUAUGGACAAUAUCAAUAGCUGAUGCAGGCACUGCAAAAGUUGGAUACUUCCAACAAAGGAGGAAGUUUUUCACGUAUCUCACAUUGCCUAAUUAAUUCUAUUUCAAGAAAGGCAUGGAUAAUUGACUCGGGAGCAAGUGAUCAUAUUAUCUAUGAUAAAUGAUUUUUUUCAAGUAGGAAUGAUGAAUCUUCCUAUUUCUGUGCAAUUACCAAAUGGAAAUGUCUUUCAUAUCACUAUGACAGGAACAAUCAAUCUCAAUCCUCAGAUCACUCUUUAAAAUGUCCUUUAUGUUCUAGAAUUCCAAUUUAACCUUAUUUUUAUGUCGAGAGUUUGCAAAGAAAACUCAUGUCGGGUAUUCUUCGAUAUUUACACUUGCUUUUUUCAGGACCUUUCAACUGGCAAACUGGUGGGCUUGGGUAGUCUUUCUGAAGAACUAUAUCUUUGGACCGAUUUUUCAAGUAAUUUCAAUUUAUCCUGCAUUUCCUUGAAUAAGCUCUCAUUGUGUAACAUGACUACCAAUGAUAAGCACUUCAUUAUGCAUUUGAGAAUGGUCACAGUGCCUCAUUUCAUUAUUCUCUAUGUCCCAUAUGUCCUCUUGCAAAAUAGUCACAGAACCCAUUUCCAUCAAGUAAUACUCGUGCCGGUGAUAUUCUUUCAUUAAUUCGUGUGGAUGUUUGGGGACUUUAUCAUAUGACAAAUCAUGAUGGGUCCCGUUACUUCUUCACAAUUGUGGACGAUUAUUCUCUUGCCACGUGGAUUUUUUUGAUGCAGUCUAAAAGUCAAGUUUUCUCCCACUUAAGAAUGUUCAUUGCACUAUCCAAGAAUCAAUUUGGAAAAUUCAUUCAGUGGAUUUGUACUGAUAAUGGGAGAGAAUUUUUCAACCAUAUUGCACUUUGCUCUUUUCAUCUUAUGGCAUCCAGCACGAAAGCUCAUGCAUAUACACGCCACAACAAAAUAGGGCAAUCGAGCGCAAACAUUGCCACCUUUUGAAACAUCGCCACUUUUUAGAAGUUGCAUGUGCGUUGAAAUUCCAAGCAUCAAUUCCAAAAAAUUAUUGGGGAGAUCGUAUCAUUACGGCAAAAAUCAACUGCAUGCCCACUCGGAUACUUAAUGGGUAAACUCCCUUUGAAUUACUAUUUGGGAAGAACCCGAAGCUGAAUCAUCUAAAAGUUUUCGGCUGCUUAUGUCAUGCCACCACAGUAGGUCCUCAGGAAAAAAAUGAGUCCUCGCACUUGAUAGUGUAUAUUCAUGGGAUAUCCCAGUCUACAAAAGGGAUAUCGGGUUCUUGAGCUAUCUACAAAGGAAUUCUUCGUAGGUAGGGAUGUUGUUUUUCAUGAGAACAUUUUUCCAUUCAGUGAAAGGGCAUCUUCACAUGAGGAUUCGAGGAUAAUGACCAAUCCUCAUAAUUUCUUAUUUGAAUGAGAAUUAUCUCAAGAUCUUGAUUAUAUUCCACUAGCACCUCCAACAAAUGUUCCUUCUUUUCCAACGACAAUUCUAGCAACAGCUCCUAUUUUGGAUAAGAACUAGAGUUCAAAGAAAGCUGUGGAAAACUUAUUAGAAGAAUUUUCUAUUGAUGAAGAAGUUCAAGGUAUCUCACUAACACCUUCUAGUGAAAUAUUGCAUUCUCCUCCAAGAGCCGAUCUUCCACGACGUUCCGAUCACACUACACGACCAUCAACCUAGACAAAAGAUUAUAUUUGUGCCACUCUCAUUUUACCAAGUAUUUAAUACCCAAUGUCAUCUUAUAUUUCCUUUCAUAAACUUUCAUUAGAACAUAGAUGCUACAAUAGUUGCAUAUCAAAAGAUAGGGAACUAUCUAGCUAUAAUGAGGCACCCACUGAUCUGCGGUGGCAGAAGGCUAUGGCAGCAGAGUUACAUGCCCUGAUUGAUAAUCAAACCUGGGAUCUUGUCUCAUUGCCUCCUAAUCAAAAACCAAUUGGCUGCAAAUUAGUCUACAAAAUUAAAUAUCGUGCUAAUGGUUCCAUUGAACGAUACAAGGCUAAAGGCUUCACCCAGCAAGAAGGUUUUGAUUAUCACGAGACGUUCUCUCUUGUUACCAAAGAUGUCACAGUCCGUUCAUUCUUGACAGUUGCAGCUAUUCAUGACUGGCUACUACAUCAAAUGGAUGUGCACAAUGCUUUUCUUCACAGCGAUUUAGAUGAAGAAAUAUAUAUGGAUAUCCCUCAAGGUUUAUAGAGACAUGGGAGAAUAAAUUGUGUCAAAUGGACGUGCACAAUGCUUUUCUUCACGAUGAUUUAUAUAUAUAUAUAUAUAUAUAUAUAUAUAUAUAUAUCCCUCAAGAUUUACGGAGACAGGGGGAGAAUAGAUUGUGUGGUCUUUGUAAAUCUCUUUAUGAUUUGAAACAAGUUUCCAAGCAAUGGUAUGCCAAAUUUAUGAAUGCUCUCACAACAACAGGCUUCAAUUAGUUCAAAUAUGACUAUGCUCUAUUCACAUGGACUCAAGGUAUGUCAUCUAUUUACUUGAUGAUAUAUGUCGAUGAUAUUUUCAAUAUGGGAAAUGAUAAAACCGCCAUAGAGACCUUCAAGGGAAUAUAUGCAUUCUAUUUUCACAUAAAAGACAUAGGAGCAUUUAAAUAUUUCCUUGGAAUUGAAAUUGCCCGAUCGACCAAGGGAUUUCUCUCAAUCAGCGAAAUUUUAUACUGGAAAUUAUAUCGGAAGCAAGUUUAUCAUGGUGCAAACCGGUUGUUAUUCCAAUGGAGCAAAACACCAACUUAACUAUGACAAAUUAUGAUGCAGGGAUAUCUCAAAAUGAUGAUCCUAUACUCAGAGAUCUGUCAAGCUAUCAGAAGCUCGUUGGAAAACUUAUAUAUCUAACUAUGACCAGGCCUGAUAUAUUUCAUGCAGUACAAACACUCAAUCAAUUCAUGCACAGUCCAAAGUAAUAUCAUUUGAAUGCUGUCUUGAAGGUUGUCAAAUAUUUAAAGAAGUGUCCAAGACUCGGGAUACUCCUGUCUAGGAAAUGUAACAUGGAGAUAACAACAUAUUGUGAUGCAGAUUACGCGACUUGCCCCAUGAGCCAAAGAUCCAUCACCGACUAUUACAUUAAAUUGGGAGAAUCGCUACAUUCAUGAAAAACCAAGAAACAACCAAGACUCGGGAUACCCCUGUCUAGGAAAUGCAACAUGGAGAUAACAACAUAUUGUGAUGCGGAUUACGCAACUUGCCCUAUGAGCCAAAGAUCCAUCACCGACUAUUGCAUUAAACUAGGAGAAUCGCUACUUUCAUGAAAAACCAAGAAACAACCAACCGUGUCAUUAUCUUUAGCUGAAAUAGAGUAUCAAGCUAUGACAAAAACCACCUGUGAAAUAGUAUGGAUACAAGGCUUGCUUAAGGACCUUGAGGUACAAGUGAAAGGGCCAACCAAGCUAUUCUACGAUAUUGAUGUGACUCUCAAAUUUGCAGCAAAUCUUAUAGUGCACGAGAGAACUAAACAUAUAGAGGUGGAUUGCCACUUUACUCGAAAAAAAAAUCAAGAAUGAGUAAUUGAGACAAGAGGAAUUGGAACCACAGAACAACCUGCGGAUAUCUUUACCAAACCUUUGUGCCAAAGAUAACAUGCAUAUCUAUUGAGCAAGCUAGACGUUUUGGACAUCUACAAGCCACCAGCUUGAGGGGGAGUGUUGGAAGAUAUGCUCGUGAUAUUUGACAUGGGAUUCAUUCGGGUUAUGAGUGUAUACAAAAUCAAUUAAGGAUUAGAUUCAGAUUUAGAUUGAUUCAUAGAAUACAUUAUUUCCAUUUAUUAGGUACAUCUUAUACUAUAUCUAUAGAGCAUUGUACAUUAGAAAUUAUUGAAGAGAAAAUUACGGAAAAAUCUUCCCAAAAUUUUAUCAUCUUUAGUCAUGAUUUCCUUUGCCUUCCUCAUUCUGCUUGUCUUCUUUCAAUUUCCCUGUUUUCUCAAUCUCUAGAACCAUCUACUUAGUCGUCACAUUUUUCCUCAAGUUCGAUGAGCACCCAUUCCUAAAGAAAACUCCUGAUUUAUUUAAAUUUACCGACUGACCAAAAGCAAAGCAAUACUAAUUCAAAAUACUAGCACUAUUUUGAUGCUCACUAAUCUUUCCAUCCAAAAAAAAAUAUUGAAUCAUUCGCAAAGAGAAAAUGAGAUUGAACAGAGUACGAUCUAGUCAAUUUAAUCCCCUGGAGUGUACCAUCCUCAAUAGCUCUUUCAAUCAUUAAUGAAAGUACAUUUGCAACGAAGAUGAACAAAUAUGGAGAUAUUGGAUCUCCUUACAAAAUACCUCUUCAAGGUUUGAAGUAGGGGUGGGGCUCUCCAUUGAAUUUAACAUUGAAAGAAACAAUUGUGACACAUUGCAUCACCCACGUUACCCAUUUCUCAUGAAAGCUCAUUUUUAGUGAACAAGCCUCUAAAAAGUCCCAUUCUAUUCUAUCAUAUGCCUUUUAUAUAUCAAGCUUCAAUAUAGCUUGGAACUUCUUUUUACUUGCAACUACUCUAAAAUUGUGCAAAAUCUCCUAAACAAUGAAUAUAUUAUCUUGAAUUUGAUGGCCACUUACAAAGGCACUUUACUUUACGCAGAUCAUUUGAAAGUGAUGAUUUUAGUCUAUUGGCCAGUACUUAAGAUAUUAUUUUGUAGAUUAAAUUACAUAGGCUAAUGGGACAAAACUGUUCCAGCUUUUCUAGGUUGGGUUCUUUGGGAAUAAGUAUAAUUUGGGUUUUGUUCAUUUUAGCAUUUAAACAUCCAAUGUUAAAAAAGGAAGUUACCUCUUGAAAGACGUCAUGUUGAAUGUCCUUCCAAUGAUGUUUAAAAAAUUGUCCACUUAAGUCGUCAAGACUAGGGGCUUUAAGAGCUUCCAACUGACUUACGGCUUCUGAGACUUCCUACAUGGUGACCUUAGCCGUCAACUCUCGAUUCAUAUUUCCCCCAUUAAAGUUGGGAUCUAUUCAACAAUAAGGUGGAAGUUCUUUUAUCCUACUGACAUAUAUAAAUUCUUGAAGUAUUCCACUAUCAUCUGCUUUAGAACAUUAGGCUCAAGAGUUCAUUCCCCAUUUGCAUUAACUGGCAUAGAUAUUCUAUUUCGAGGCCUCUUUUGAAUAGUUGUUACAUGAAAAAAUUUAGAGUUUUUAUCCCCAUUUCAACUGGCUAAUUCCGGAAUGCGUGCCCCAAUACAUUUCCUCCCUCUUCCACAAUAAACCAAUUUUCUCUAUCAAUUUUAAUAUCUUUUCUUUGCUUUGUGUGAUAUCUAGACUAUUUGUUAUAUUUUGAAUUUUCAACUUUAGUGCCUCAAUUCUUUUGUGAGCAUUUGAGAAUUUUUUCCUACUCUAGUAUGCAUGGGUUCUGGUCACUUCUUUCAAUUUUAUUAGUAAAUCAGUUCUUUCUAGCUUAGGAGAAAGCCAAACCUCCUUAGCAAUUUUUCCAUACUCCUUGUCCUCUAGCCAGUAUGCUUCAAAUCUGAAUUCUUUUACUCUUUUCACUGGUUGUGGGAAUACUUUCAGCAAGAUAGGACUAUGAUCUGACCCAAUUGCAGGUAAAGCAAAGACUAUUGCCUUGGGAAAAACACCCUCCAUUCAAUUGUGCAUAAGAUCCUAUUUAGUUUCUUCUUGACAAAUUCCUCCCAUUCUCUAUUGUUAGCCCAAGUGCAAUCAUACCAUUUACUUUCUACUUCCAUAAUAUCACAAUUAUUUAGGAAUUUCAUAAAUGCUACUAGCCUAAAAUUUUCAGCUUCCCUCCUUCCCAUCUUCUCCCAAGAAUAAAGUAUUUCAUUAAAAUCCCCUAUACACACUCACGGUAGAUGAUUUAAAUGUUUAAUUUCUUCUAUCUCCUUCCAUAAUAUAGUCUAUCAUUAAAUACAUCGGGUGCAUGUAUACAAGUUAUUUGUUUACAUAACUACUGGUCUUUCAUUCACAUACCAUAUCAAUAAACUUAUCAAUACUUUGCUCGAUGGAAAUUGCUACCUGGUCGGUCCAGAAAAUAGCCAAUCCUCCAGUUAUACCCAUUGGGUUGACUAUAAGGUUGCCAUAAUACUUCAAUCUCUUCAUUAUGCGCAACACCAUACUUUUCCCGUUUUUAGUUUCCAUAGGAAAGAUCACCACGGGUCUAUCCCGAGCCACAAGAGCUUGAAGUUAUUAAACUGUCAAGGGUGUGCCCAACGCUUGACAGUUCCAACUAACAAGAUUCAUUUGUAACCCAAUGGCUUAUUAGAGCUAGCCACCCAAGCCUAUUCAUGUACUUCAUCAGCCAUAUAAACUUGGAUUUCCAUGAGUUGCAUCUCAUCUAGAAUCUUGAUACUAUUAUUCUUAUUUUCAUAAGGAGAGUAACAUCUGGGUCUUUUACUUGCUAGUGUUGCCUUUAUUUGCUAUCUCCUUCUAAAAAUUUCGGAAUCUAGGGUCAGUAAAUAUUGGUUUUCCUUCUUUAUCUUGUGCAGGGACAUUAGACAGAGCAUCAAAUAGGUUUAUAUGCUGGCUUGCCAAAUGUUUCUCAAUGUAGGAUCCCGACAUCUUCUCUUUGCUCUUAUCUAAAUAAGUAGAUGCAUUCAACUUUGUAGAGUGGAUUGCACAAUACUGAUAAGGAACAAGUUAACCAGAAUUCCUUGGAGAUUAAGGUACAAAUUCAUCUUCCAUGAUAUCCUCAUCCCCCUCUUUAUAAAUAACUUCCAAAAAGGGUUGUGAUCAUUUACCUCAGCCUUGAGCCACUGUCCAAAUCGAUUUUCUUUUUUAGAAAGGAUUUUCUCAUCAUCAUAUGGUAUCUUUGUGCAAUAGCUAGCAUAGUGCCCCAUCUUCUCACAAGAAUAACAAAAAUUGGGUAAUCUUUCAUACUUGAAAUCUAACUAGCUUCUUUUUCCUGCAAGGUUGAUAAUGGUUCUAGACAAAAGUGGCUUGGACAAAUCAACAAGUGCUCGCGCCUUCCCUAGUUUUACUAUUGUUGUUCCUCUAGUUUCAAUCCUAAUUUCAAGAACCUCCCCCAUCUUCUCCAUAGUUUUACCUAUCAUAUUUUCCUAGCACCACUCGUGGGGUAAACCAUGAACUUGAAUCCAAAGAGCACAUGAUUUAAACUUAAUAACAAUGAAGAGGUGUAUUCGGUUCUCAUACUUUAAGCAAUAGCAAGUUGUUUGCAAAAGAGCAAGGUCCCAAAUCUAAGACCAUUUUCAAGUCAUUUUCUGAUUUAAAGGUAAAUACGGACAACCCAUUCUUCAUUGAUGUGAUUUCCACUGAAUCUAUAUGCUGAGCUUUCUUCAUUGUAUUUUGAAAAGCAUGAAAGCUAAUAUUGGGGUUUUGAUAAAGCUGACCAAAUAAGGUGAGUUUGCAUUCUUUCACUCUUGCAUCCGAUCGUUCUUCAUUUGUGAUGAUGAUUUAUUUAUUAGAUCAUAAAUUGCCUAACCUUCAAUAAAGCGAAACCAAGCAAACUUCCUACCAAUAGCAGUCCUCCAUUGUGGCAAGCCAACCAAGGAAUCCCAGUAGAAAACGAGAAGCAAGUAUUAAAAGGGAAGAAGAUACUACAUUAGGGUGAAGAUACUAAAGGCAUUAGGAUGAAAUGGGGCAAUACUAUCCCACUAUUUGAGUUAGGGGUGUGCAAUAGGACCAGGUUUACCUGGAAUCAGACCGGCCCACCUGAAAAACAGGGUCGAGAACCGGUUCCUAUUAAAAUCAGUCUGGAAAUCGGUUCCAAAAUUCGGAACCAGUUUAAAUCGAUUCGGGAAUCGGGUCCGAUUGAUUACCCACCCGGGAACCAAUUCCCGGACCGAUUUUGGAAUCAGUUUGGGAACCGGUUUUGUAAGUAUAGGUUCAAAACCCUAUUUUUUCCCCUUAUUUCUAUUUUUACUCCCACAAUCAUACAACGUUUUUCCUUUUAGCUCUCUCAAACAUGCACGACACUCCUCCUUCGUCGUUUCUCUUCCUCACUUGCUUCCCUCCCUCAUUGGCUCCCUCUUGCACGAUUCAAUUGACAGACGGUGUUCAUUGCCGCCAAAUUCUUGUGUACCAUGUGGAUUGGCUCACUUAAUUUCUCUUUUGUAUGAGGAUUUAUGUUUGCAUAAAUGAUUAACUUCAUGUAGUAGUUGUGGAAAUAAAACUAAUAUUUGACCCAUGUUUGUUACUAAUUAUUUAUCUUAUGAUUUUAUUUAUUACAAUUAGCUGUGUGAAUCCUUAAUUUUUCGUUUAGUCAAAAAGUUCAUGUAUCUAUUUAUCAUAAAUGCUUGAUGUUUCGAUAUAAAUUAGGAGGAUUACAUUAUUUUCUCGAGUAUUAAUAUAAAAUUCGAAAUCGUAUAGGAUAUUGAGAGAUUGCAAAAUAGGUUCCAAUGGAAAUAGGAUUAACCUUGGAACCGGACUGAAAAAACAUGAUGGAUCGGGUAUAGGGUCUAAUACAAAUAGAGUCGGGUAUAUGAUCCAAAAAAGGGAAACAAGUUAUAACAUGGUCCAGUAUAGGGUCCAAGUCUAGACCCUACCCACCCUCCCAAUCACCCCUAAUUUGAGUCAAGGAGAUCCAAGAAGCUGGAGAGGGUUUAGGGUUUUGAGCCGACGCACGAACCCCUGGAGUGCCUUAACUUUGACCAAAGGGACACUUAAGUGCCAUAACUUACGAAAGGUACACUUAAGUGCCAAAAUCGGAGUAAAAUGGAUCACUUAAGUGCCAAUCCGGCCAAAAUAUCGACAUGGCACUUUUCCGGCGAACCGAGCCCAAAACGACACCGUUUUACACGCUGACGUGGCCAAAACGACGUCGUUUUGGCCUGACGUGGCAAAAAAAUAAAUAAAAAUUAAUUAAAUUAAAUUUAUUUAAAAUAUUUAAAAAUAAUUAAUUAAAUUAAAGUUAUUUAAAAAUAAUUAAUUAAAUUAAAUUUAUUUAAAAAUAAUUAAUUAAAUUAAAUUUAUUUAAAAAUAAUUUUAACAUUAAAUUUAGUUAAAAUAUUUUAAAUUAAUAAUUUUAAAAUUAAAUUUAGUUAAAAUAUUUUAAAUUAAUAAUUGUAAAAUUAAAUUCAGUUGANNNNNNNNNNNNNNNNNNNNNNNNNNNNNNNNNNNNNNNNNNNNNNNNNNNNNNNNNNNNNNNNNNNNNNNNNNNNNNNNNNNNNNNNNNNNNNNNNNNNNNNNNNNNNNNNNNNNNNNNNNNNNNNNNNNNNNNNNNNNNNNNNNNNNNNNNNNNNNNNNNNNNNNNNNNNNNNNNNNNNNNNNNNNNNNNNNNNNNNNNNNNNNNNNNNNNNNNNNNNNNNNNNNNNNNNNNNNNNNNNNNNNNNNNNNNNNNNNNNNNNNNNNNNNNNNNNNNNNNNNNNNNNNNNNNNNNNNNNNNNNNNNNNNNNNNNNNNNNNNNNNNNNNNNNNNNNNNNNNNNNNNNNNNNNNNNNNNNNNNNNNNNNNNNNNNNNNNNNNNNNNNNNNNNNNNNNNNNNNNNNNNNNNNNNNNNNNNNNNNNNNNNNNNNNNNNNNNNNNNNNNNNNNNNNNNNNNNNNNNNNNNNNNNNNNNNNNNNNNNNNNNNNNNNNNNNNNNNNNNNNNNNNNNNNNNNNNNNNNNNNNNNNNNNNNNNNNNNNNNNNNNNNNNNNNNNNNNNNNNNNNNNNNNNNNNNNNNNNNNNNNNNNNNNNNNNNNNNNNNNNNNNNNNNNNNNNNNNNNNNNNNNNNNNNNNNNNNNNNNNNNNNNNNNNNNNNNNNNNNNNNNNNNNNNNNNNNNNNNNNNNNNNNNNNNNNNNNNNNNNNNNNNNNNNNNNNNNNNNNNNNNNNNNNNNNNNNNNNNNNNNNNNNNNNNNNNNNNNNNNNNNNNNNNNNNNNNNNNNNNNNNNNNNNNNNNNNNNNNNNNNNNNNNNNNNNNNNNNNNNNNNNNNNNNNNNNNNNNNNNNNNNNNNNNNNNNNNNNNNNNNNNNNNNNNNNNNNNNNNNNNNNNNNNNNNNNNNNNNNNNNNNNNNNNNNNNNNNNNNNNNNNNNNNNNNNNNNNNNNNNNNNNNNNNNNNNNNNNNNNNNNNNNNNNNNNNNNNNNNNNNNNNNNNNNNNNNNNNNNNNNNNNNNNNNNNNNNNNNNNNNNNNNNNNNNNNNNNNNNNNNNNNNNNNNNNNNNNNNNNNNNNNNNNNNNNNNNNNNNNNNNNNNNNNNNNNNNNNNNNNNNNNNNNNNNNNNNNNNNNNNNNNNNNNNNNNNNNNNNNNNNNNNNNNNNNNNNNNNNNNNNNNNNNNNNNNNNNNNNNNNNNNNNNNNNNNNNNNNNNNNNNNNNNNNNNNNNNNNNNNNNNNNNNNNNNNNNNNNNNNNNNNNNNNNNNNNNNNNNNNNNNNNNNNNNNNNNNNNNNNNNNNNNNNNNNNNNNNNNNNNNNNNNNNNNNNNNNNNNNNNNNNNNNNNNNNNNNNNNNNNNNNNNNNNNNNNNNNNNNNNNNNNNNNNNNNNNNNNNNNNNNNNNNNNNNNNNNNNNNNNNNNNNNNNNNNNNNNNNNNNNNNNNNNNNNNNNNNNNNNNNNNNNNNNNNNNNNNNNNNNNNNNNNNNNNNNNNNNNNNNNNNNNNNNNNNNNNNNNNNNNNNNNNNNNNNNNNNNNNNNNNNNNNNNNNNNNNNNNNNNNNNNNNNNNNNNNNNNNNNNNNNNNNNNNNNNNNNNNNNNNNNNNNNNNNNNNNNNNNNNNNNNNNNNNNNNNNNNNNNNNNNNNNNNNNNNCCAUGCCAACCCUCGUUAAGCCCAUCGGGCGUGUUCGGUUGAAACGAUAAUGGCGUGUGAGACCAUCAAUACUCCGCAAUCCGUCUCCCCCUCUUUCCUUUUUUUUAAAUUUUUUUUAAUAUUUCAAUUAAAUUUAAUUUUUAAAUUAUUAUUUUUAAUAUUUUAACUAAAUUUAAUUUUUUUAAUUUUUUUAAUUUUUUUAAUUUUUUUAAUUUUUUUAAUUUUUUUUACCACGUCAGCCCAAAAUGACGCCGUUUUUGCCACGUCAGCGUGCAAAACGACGUCGUUUUGGGCACGCUUUGCCGGAAAAGCUCUACGUUGGCAUUUUGGCCGAACUUUGGCCGAAGUGGCACUCAAGUGAUCCGUUUUUUUUUCGAAUGUGGCACUUAAGUGUACAUUUCGUAAGUUAUGGCACUUAAGUGUCUUUUUGGCCAAAGUUAUGGCACUUGAAGCGUUCCUUUGCCGUUUUGAGCCAUUGUUAAGGUUUAUAGUGAGCUACCACCAAAGGGUAGAAAGCAUCUCUUCCUAGCGAGAGAGAAUUUUUCAAUUGCCAGCGAUCUCAAUGAUACCAACGGUCAUCGCUAGCCAUGCCCUUGACUUAUUUGUCUCCUCUCCUUGUUGUCGUUUUGUUCUUUUUUAUUAGCCUACUUCGUUUUAUUAAUAAAAUUUUGUUUCUCUAAAUAUUUUAAUUUUUUUAAUGAUUAAAAGCAACCUCAUCAGCCCAUUAAGUAAGGGAGCGUGAAAAAACCGGUGGAUCAAAUAGCUUUUACGUGAAAGUCAAAGUCGUAAGCUAAUCAAAUUUGGCAUGCGUAGGAUCUGUUUUGUGCUUGCUUUUAUUUCUCUCGUUUAGCAAGUUUUGUAAUAUGAUUUGGCUUUGACGUUUAUAUAAGACGAAGCAUUUGCAAUCAUUGAACACAUAGAAGUGCUUUUACAUUUUAUUUUAUUUUUGCACGAUUUUUCAAAACUUGAAACUGGUUCAACUUUUUUUAGAAUUUUAUUUUGAGUAAAACAAAAGGAUAUCCUACUUCUCAUGCCCAACACAACAUUUCCUAUUAGAGCAAACUUCCCUUCUCUAAACACUUUAUUUGGCAAUUGAAGUUUGGGAUGGAAGUGAAGAGAAAACUAAAGAAAGGAAAUAGAGAUGAUUUCUUGCGUUGGGUGCGGAUUGAGGAGCGAUGACGUGCAGAGAAUUAGAAAUAAGAUUGACGAAAAAAUGAUUCUUUUUUUUUUUUGAUGACCGAGGGACCUCCGGAGAUUACUUUUUGGGGAUCACACGACCCUCCGGUAGCACCGGUGGGGCCUCGCCACAAGCCGCUGUAAACCUUGGUGGAUGGCCUAGUAAAUCACUCUUGGGAAUCUCACUUAAGUCGCGAGCAUUCGGAGAUUCAAACUCGUUCCCUUGGUGAUGAGGUAGUGAAGCCCAACCAUUACGGUUACCUACGGGUGGGUAUGAAAAAAAAAAUUGAUUCUUUAUCCUAUAAAUCUUUGACAUGUCAAUUGGUAUAUAUAAAUAUAACAUAUUAAUAAAAUUUGAUUAAAACUUAGAAUUAUACGCUUGUCAACUUAAAUAAGAUCCAGAAGUAUAUUUUCUUAAAUCAGAAGUCCAAUCCUUUUUUCCUGAGAAAAGGCUCUGUGAAAGUUCAUUUCUCUACAAGAUUUCGAGCAAGAACAUAUAGUCUGGGAUAGUCUUUGCACAACUGAAGAAUUGCAACUACAAUCAUUGGGAUACUUUCAUUCUCAACCGAGGCAUGCUUAUGACUAGCAAUUGUUUUUCAUUAAACAAGGGAAUUAGUAUCUUUUAGGAAGGCAAUGACAACGCCAGCAAAUGUUACAAGAUUUGCCUUCCCUUAUCGAGAUAUCGCUUCAUGUUUAAAUUUAUUUUAAACCAAUCUUAGUUUAUCUGAUCUUGAUGAGAGGUACACAAGUAAAAUCAUGUGUUAGAGUUAAGGAUAAAUUGAACAGCUAUAACAAUAGAUGACCUAAAGUUCAGACCCUAAACAAAGAGGAACGACACUCAGAAGCAAUCAUAAUCACAAAUUAACAUGGCGCAACUCAGAUUAUUACCUCCACAUGCACAGUUGCACUAGUAUAUGUAUAAGAAGAUCCUGAUGAAUGUGCAAACUUAAAUGGUUAAUUCUGUAUCUUUGUUUUCCCCCAAAAUUCUCAAGAAGUUUAUAGGAACUAGUCUUAUCUUAUACUAAUCGUCCUGCUUUUUUUCAUAUCUACAAGAAACAGAAAUGAUACACACUCAAUCAGCUAAUGAUCAAAAAGGCCUCUUCAGAUCCUUGAAGUCCAGCGAAUCAAUACACUCCAGCCUCUCUCUGUGCUGAUUCAACAGCUUCACCGCCUGAGUCGCCUUCUCUUUGGUCCUCUCUCCACACCCGACCUGAAGUAGCAACAGCAGCUUUUGGAAAGCACCCACUUGAAGAGCUUCAGCCAAAACCCCUCCACCAUCUUCACCACUCUCGCCGAUCGCCAUCAGCUUCCACAGAACCGAUACCGAGAACUCCGUGGCCAAAUCCGAGACCCGCAGCAACUUCUUCACCAGGACUGGCACGGCCAAUGAAUUGUCACGCACCGCUUCUUUCCCUUCUUCAUUGUCGCAGAUCCCGUCAAGAACCCCCAACGCCUUCUCAGACAUGCUCCGAUCAGCGUCCACGAGCGUCUCCACAAGCAAAGAGACCAAGCCCAUUUGAACGAAUCUUGAUAUGAUCAUGUCCUUAGCCGGAUGUGAUGACGUGACCAUGUGAUAAAUAACUAUCAAUGAAGAUCUCGUUGCCGCGGGGCAAAUGGGUUCCUUGACGACCUUGAACAGGGAUUCCAGGGCUCCUUCAAUCUCAGCCAAAGCCUCGACCUUCCGCUUGUCGGAUGAGACGAUCUCUCUCAGAACCAAGGCCGAGUUCCAUCCCGAGGACAAGUCGCUGUUCGUCAAAUACCCAACCAUACAGUGUAAAGAAGAGGGUGAUCCUAGGCAUGACUUGGCCUCUACGCUGAGAGGCAGCAUCAAUGUCAAGGCCGAUAAUAUCUCCUUCGAGAUGUCAUCGUUCUCUUCAUCCUGGCUCGAUGUCUCCGAGAAAGCUUCAAACGCCGCCGCCAAGACAGAACCCGUUCCGUUGGAUUUGAAGCACUUCUUGUUCCGUUCGCUUUCCUUGCUCAAGGCCUUCAUCUUCACCACAAGCUUCCUGCAAACACUUUGGUCUUUUAUCUUGCUAGCCUCAGAAAUCUUAUCGAGCAUCUCCACGACUUCCAUUGAGCUCACAGGGAUCCUCGGGGUCGGGAUCCGCUCUAUUCCAUGGGAUCGGUUCUCAACGCACCACUCCUGGAUCAUCCUCCUUAUCAUGUGGUUCGGCACAAGCUCGAGGCUCCCGAAGGCCCUGUUGGUGAUGGGGCACGUCCGGUUCCCAGCCUCAAUCCACAUCUCGAUGCUCUCACGGUCAUACGUGAUCCCGGACAAAAGGGUAACGGGGUCCUUCAUCAGGUCGAGUGAUAUCGGGCACUUGAACUCACUCGGGACGGUCAGCUCCACCUCCUCGAAGGCUUCGUCCCCCCUUCGGAGCUCCAGCUUGCGAGCACGCCGGGCAGCCAUCCGUCGCCUCCACGUCGAGAUCAUCUCUUAAGUCGAAAAGAAUGAGUUUAGGGAUAUCGAAUAUUGGAAUUAAGGAAUGCUUGCAAUGUUCUAGGUAUGGCUUGUGAUGUUUGAAGGAAGACAAAAGAAUGAUUUCUUGUAUUUAUAUAAGGGCAAGCGUGGCCACGCAGGGAAGAGGUUGGGUGUUACACGCGGUUCAACAUUCAAAACUUGGAUAAUUCUGUUGGAAUAUAAUAAAAGUGGGAAGUCGUACAGAGAGAGAAAGAGAGAGGGGAGGUGUCGCCCCAUGUGUUUUGAACGGUUGACCGUUGAAACGUUGAACUGGAGCAGGAGGGAAAAGAUGGAAUUGGACAUCGUCUAGAGAGGAGGCUUGACAGAGCCCCAAACACUAUUUAAGGGAGGGUCAUGGGUGUCCAUUCAUUUUUUAAAUAAUGGAUCAAAGGUCAAGAGGUUUGACGUUGGAGGAGUUUGGGACGGUGGUGGUGGUGGUCUCUGGUCAACGGGUCGGUGGGCUGACCGUGCGCAAUUGCGCAUGCAUGUGAAGUUGCGCUACCGUGCACAGUUUGAUUCGGCUUUAGUACUAAUAAUCACUAAUUAAUCUUAAAAUCCCGUAUGGACGUUGACCUGAUCUUUGGGCCGUCAUUAAGCUCCUCCUCAACGACACGCUCCCGACGCGGAACCCUCGGGGAUUCACAAGCUGGUUCGGGCUGGUCCCUUCCUUAGCCGUGUCGUUCGAUUGACCUGAGCAAAAUCCAAGUAUGCGCGUGCAUCUUUGGAUCCGUCACACGUCUUACGGAUUCCGAUUCCAAUAUUUCACGUGCGACAUAUAGAAAUCCACGUUCUCCUAGAAUGACGCCGAGAGAGCGAAGUGAAUUCGGAUUCUAAAUGAGAAAAAGUUAGCCGUCUUAUGAACCCUAUAGUUGAUUGGUCAUAUACAGCUCUCUCAAUAAAGAUAGAAAAAAAGCUUGCCAAUAUCUAAAUUUUGUGUAGUGGGUAGGGGUGUGCAACGGGAACCGCCUGAACCGGGAACCAGCCAUACCGGACCGGUCACGAUCGUCGGUCCAGUUCCCGAUUCCUAAUCUUGGAACCGGUGGCCGAUCGGUCCGGAUCCCGGUUCUAAUGUGGGAACCGGUUGGCUAAAUUUUUUUAUAUAUAAAUUUAUAUACAUAGAAUUAAUAAAAUAUAUAAACAUGAUAACUUAUUGCAACCAAAAUUGCAAUUUGAGGUAGCAACCUCUUAUGUAGCCAAGAGACCAUUAAAACCUUUUUGUUACUCUUUUAUUUAUAGAAAAAAAAUCUCCUUGUUAAUUUCAUCUUCUACUCGAUGUGGGACUAAGGGUCUAAGAGACCCACAAGGUACUUCAAGCCUCCAAAAGUCCCUUGUCAACUAAACAUUCAUAUAGCAAAAGAGAGAUUGUCUAUAAAAUCUAAGCUAAGCACAACCUUUAGCCAAAUUGUUCAUCACCUUCAUUGUUUAAGUUAAGUGUGAAACAUACUAAGUGUGAAUCACACAAGUGAAGUUUGAAUAUUUUACAUGUGGAAAUAUGUGUGAUUAGUUUUGUUGAAUUGCCCGAGAACCGAAUUGGAUUGAUCAAUUCAGAGCGCGGUCAUUUUUUAUUACAAAAAAGUAGAGCCGAUUUCGUUGGAUUGAACCGGAUCAGAGCGCGAUCACUCUUUAUUACAAAAAAGUAAAGCCGAUUUUGUUGGACUGAACUGGAACCGAUGUUUUGGUCCGGUCCAUAGUUCGCAAUUUUGGAAACUGGUGCUCCCGGUCCGAUUCCCGGUUCCAAGGUGAAACCAAACUGAAUUGGGAACCGAUUACCCUAGUAGUGGGUCAAGUUAAAAUUUAAGUUGUGAACUCAAUUAACUCGCAAAUAAUGAUGAGGCAAUCGGCUUCAACAUUUGUUGGCGACGCACGGUAGAGAUCCAAAUGCAUGCAUCGGUGAUUGGUGAGUGCAUCUUAUCUAAUUUCGCACGGUCUAAUAAAAAAAAUCACAUAUUAUGGGGCGUUGUUCUUUUCCUAGAAAUUCAUGAUGAAUUUUCCAUUUUCGACCACAUGCACAACAGUAGAGUUGGAGCAAUACUAGUAUUAUAGCACGUGAAAUAUUUACCGAACGUGUCAAAAAAGCGACAUCUUUAUCCGGUCGCCCCACACUUUUCUACGUGCUUGUCGGGCAAUGACAGUGAAAAGAGAGCGCACGCGGGAUGGAAAUUCGCCUAAGUCUGGCCCCAGGAAAAUUGGCAACAAAUUAAUAAUAAAAAAGGCGAUUAAAAUGGGUUUUAACCAAACAAUCAAUUGCCCAAAAAAUGCCAAAAGAGUAUGAUUAAUUAGCCGCGAAUCCGUUAAUUAAUUAACUUUUUAUAUUCGAGAAUAACUAGCUAACCUCUUGUUCCCGCGUCUUUUCUUGUAAUUUCGUCUAACGUCAGGUCAUUACGAUUAGUGUAAUUACAUGUGGACGCCCGUGCGUGCUUGUGGAUGGAAUUGGACCAAAACUGCACGAGCAGAUAGCGAACCCUAUAGUUUGACCAUCUCAUCCCUUUGUUUUCAACAAUGCUUGUUGUUGGCCAAGUUUGUCGUUAAAAAAUAAAUAUUUUUUCAAAAUGUUCUCUGAAUUGGGUUAUUCGACCGCCAUUGUCUUUAGGAGACUAAUUUAUCGGGUUUUGAUUGUACCAUUUCGGGCAAACCCGAUGAUGAAGGAAUACUAUAUAAUAGGUCCGGAACCAAAUGAAGACCGACGAAAUUAUACUACUUUACACUGUCUAUAAAAAAGUAUUAAAAUAAUAAAUUAUUUUUUAUUUUCGGUCAAAACCCGGUAGGAAAGAUUCAGAUAUCUUUCAAAUAAAAAUUGAAAUAUGUAAUUUCCUUUUAGAAGUAAAGUUAAACUUGAGAAGUAUGAUGUAGCUUUGGUGGGCUUCGUCAUUUGCAGGCACAAAAGGCCCACGUUCGUUGAACCAGAAGAGCAGUCGAACUUUUCCAAAGAAGUCAACCCUCCAUCUAACUUCAAUAAUGACUACCCUUCUAACAUAAAAGAGGAAGAUGGGAAGUUCAAAUUCCUACCUUCUUAGGAGAGAUUGGGAUGGGAAUGAUUUAGUUUUAAGUGUGAGUUUCGACUCUCAUGCCCUAUCAUUACAGGGUAAAAGUCUGAAAGUCAGAGUUAGAGUAUAAAUAAAGCAGAACCGAUAAAAAAAAAAAAAAAAACCCUUCGGCUAACUUCAAAUGCCCGGUGUUAGUAUAUUUAUCCUCUUUCAUGCAAUGUAAAUCUAAACUAGAAAAGGAGAUGCGAUCAAUCUCAGACAGCAAUUUUUCCUCGGUACUGAUGAUAUCAAUUAGCCAAUCGAGGUAUGUCGAUUACAAGAAUUGCAAAUUUGCAUCUAGUGGUAAUCACAAGUCCAAGGUAGAAUAAAAAAUCAAACCAAAUUGACCAUAGAAACCAGUCCAAUUUCAAGUUCUCACAGUUGCCGGUCCUAUUCACAAUUCCAUUAAAAAAAUAAAAAAGUGGAAUCGAUACUAUGUAGAUUGGUUCCAGAUUCCUAUUCUUACUUAGGAACCAAAAACUGAUGAAUCACACUUACAUCUUUUCAACUUUUUAUUGUUUAUAUUAUUUUACGUAUUCAUUUAUUUUAUAAAUUGUGCUAUCAACAAAUAAGAAUUUUUGUUGUUGUGUUUACUUUCAUUUUACUUAACUAAAAAUGAAACAAAAAAAAAAGGAAAGGAAAUUUGUUAGUUCCAAAGUAGACCGUAAAACCGAUUAACUAGGUGAGUUUCAACUUUUAGGGUACAUGGAGUAAGUUUCAAAUUUUAAGAACUAGUGAACUAAUUUCGAUAGGGUAAGUUCCAGGAGGAACUUGGAUCGAUCCUAUAGUCGUUCAUCCCUAUCCGCAUCUCAAGAAAAGAAUAUUUAAGUGUUGGUUAAGUUGGCAUGGUAUUACCCAUACAAUAAUCAUUCACUCCGAUUUGCUACACCACAUAUCAUUUUUAGGUGAGGUGACAUAUUUGUUUUCAUACACGUGACACUUGGUUUGAAUUUUGACCACGCAAUGUGCUUGCCCCGGUCAAGAUGCAAUUCAACUUAUAUAAGUUGAUAAGAUUUACGUCCCAUGCAUUUGGCGACAUUGAAACAAACAAGAACAUUUAAUAAAAAAAAGAAAAGAAAAGAAAGAAAGAGCGAAAACAUAGGAAAAGCAGCGAUAAUUGAGGACAGAAGAAGGCGACGGGACAAGACAAGCCCCGUGACUGCUUGUAGCAUUAGGGGCCCUUGCAGUAGGAGAGGGGAGGAUGACGGCCCGCUUCCACCAAAUCUUCAAAAUCAUCUGCCCACCCCUACCAAAGUUACAAAAAAAUCGAAAAGAAACAAAGGGAGAAAACUUUAUAAAAAAGAUAAAAAGCAUAUGCUAACUUUUAUAAAAGAGAAAAAGCAUAUAAUGCCUGAUACAGAAAAUUUGUGAUUUUUUUUUUUGGUGAAUUAUUGCGAUAGGGGCAGGGGGGAGGAUGCCGAUCCAAUGAUUCCGAGCACUUUGGCCCACGAUCGUGCCAAUUAUGCCGAAUCCACAAUUUUUACAGUCUGGGAAACACCCAUCAUGCCAGAGAGAAAGAGAUUAUGAUGAGAGUUGAAAAUGAAUGAAAUCAAUCUUCAUGGAAUCAUUUGUCGCUCGCGGAAUUGAUAUGUCAUCGAUCUAUCAAUCUACCAUAUCAAUGGCAUAAAAAUAGCAUCAUCAUUCAACUGUAUUUCGACGUGAUAUCUAUUGAGAAGCAUAUCGCACGUAACAUAAUUAAUUGGUCACACCAUGUUUGCAUAAAAUAUUAUUUCUAUAUGAUAGGUCCCUCCACAACAUCACAAUCCUGCUCGAACAUGGUGGUCGCCUAUCAUAUAUAGCUCUGUUAUCCUUACCAGUUUACGUGUCUACGCCAAGCCGAUCUCUCUCUCUCUCAAGCAUCACAGGGACCGCAAUCCUCAUUUUGUGUUAUACUCAUACCACAAAUAUAAUUUCAACAUAAUUACAAAAUACUUUUUCAUUAAAAAAAUUGUGUGAAAAUACGUCGGUUUCAAAUUAAAUCGUGACAUCCCAAAAGGCAAUUGAUUUUCACCAAAUUCUACCAAGAGUAUGAUGCAGAUGCUUCCAAGACGACCAUCAUUAAAGAAGGCCAAUUUAUCAAUUUCAGACAAUUUUAUUAAAGUCAGGAAGUGGACAAGAUACUAAGCACCACUAACCUCCUUAACACAAAAAAACAUCACUGUCGGGGCAAGAAAGAAAUUAGGCGAAGCACGUAGUCUAGUCACAGCCGUGGUUUCAAGAAACCGUCCAAAACUCCACGCUUAGCUGUCCACCAAAUCAGGCUCAUUGUCUCUCCUGAUAAAUUUACCUAAUUAGAUUUCUAUACUUUCAAUUUAUUUAAUCAAGUUCUAUUUCCAAAAAUUCCGAAAUCAGGUCUUCCUAAAGCCAAAUUCGACAAUAAUGUGACUGAAAGUGAUCUUCAGACGACGUCAAUAUAUGACUCCGCAUAAAACUACACGCGAACACCAAAGUGGGCACGUAAGGAAAAUUUUAGACAUCAUAGGUAUGAUUGGAUUUAGAUAAAUUUUGUGUCGGGAAAACCUGAUUUUGGAAGUACAUAAGAACAGAAAGAUUUCGGUAUAAAAACGUGAAAGUUAGGAUACAAGAAUUUUUCCAAUUAGAAAUUGUUCAAGACCAAAAGCAAACGCCAGCCAAUCGGUGGGGCUCUGCUUAGCUGUUUUCCUUUUGUUUGCUAUCUUACCAAUCAUCAAUUCUAACCAAUUUGCAGAGAAAAGAGGUUUUCCUUUUCCCAUUCUAUACUCCUCGUGAUGCCAUCAAAUCAAGGCCAUUAAAUAUUUGCCGACUCUGUUCGAUAAGUUUGACCUGCUCAGCUUCAACAUGAGGAGUGGUACUAGGCAAAAACUCAAAGGGGGAUCCAAAGGAGACGCAAAGACCUCCCAAAACAUACAAAUUAGCACAUGAAACACAUGACACUAAAAGUCUGAAUUCAUCACCAGAAAUUGUGGAUCACAUGGUCCCAUAUUAUUUCAGAGCACCAGAAGAUCUGCCUCAUUCAACGCGAAACGGAUCGACAAAUAAGUCCAAUACCAAGAAAGCCUGCACAUAAAUUAUACUUUCGCCAUUCAAGUUCAAGCUACAUAGCAUGAUCAUCUCUACAACACAUACCAGAAGAAAGAAAGAAAGAAAGAAAAACGCAAAUAUCUCAUAAUUAACAGGCGACAGCGAACAAAGCAAACCUCCAUGAAUCAUCAAUACGAACCCGACUCCUACAUUUACCGUUUUACUUUUAGUUUCUUUCGAGAACUCCCAUACCUUCAUCUCCCAUCUGCCGAAGUGAAUGAACUAGCGAACCCAGACGGCCGCAUAGGAAUACUCGUCUGGGUGCUCUCAUUGCUCGCUAAAAAUGAGGAAGAAGAUUCGUCAAUGUUACUGUUUCCCUCAUAGGCCUGCCACUUCUUGAGUGCUUGGGGUAAGGUCAUCUCCAGGUCGAUCCCAUACAUGUCCUCAGAGUCUGGCUCGGAUGGCUUCCAGAGCUCUACGAGCGACGAGAGCACGCUGACCGCGUGACCCAUGUCCGGCCUCUGGUAAGGUUCCCGCCCACAGCAGUGGCCUGCGAGCUCAGCAAUCGUGCUUACGCUUGCUAGUGUUUCUUCGUCGAGAUCGAUGACCGGGUCGAUGGCUUUCCGGAAUGUGUCCUUGUUGAGGUGCAUUCUCCGGAACCAUGUCACAAGGUGGACACUGUCCUCAGGCUGGGUUUCAUCGAGAGCCCUUCUUCCCGUGAUCAUCUCCAUAAGGAUCACUCCAAAGCUGAAGACAUCGGCUUUGGUGGUCACCCGUCCAGUCACUGUAAAGUACAGAUGUAGGGCCAUAUCAAGUAUUGGUGAUGAGUUUUUGCAGGACAUUAUGAAGAUGUAGUGGAUGAUCCCUGUUCUACUUGUCAUUACCAGACAUUUCAAAUAUCAACCCUCACUUAUUAGAUUCGACAGUAAUAUUAUUCUCUUCCGCAGCUAAACGAAGAGAAAGUAAGGAGAUUGUCACUCUCAUGUUCUGGGAGUAGCGAAUUGGCAAUAUGAGUAGUGAAUUGGCAAUAUCAGCAUUAUUCAAAUGGUUGAGCAUUCAGUUGGUCAAAAAAGAAAAAACAGAUUUGCUCAUGCAGAUAAGAAUGCUUCUCCAUUCAAUUAGGAUGCCAUUCCACUAACUUCGGUCAACUCACAAACUGCCACCUUCAAAUGUUCAUUAAUCAAUGAUAAAAACUACUAAUUCUAGAAUGCAACAUCGAGUAUUGGAAGUUUUGGACGAUAAAAGCUUGAAGUGUCUCGUCAUUUGAAAUGGCGCAAAGGAGUCAGCUGAUCCACUCUAUGACAUGCCUGAACAAUGGCAACAUUCAUUUGCCAGAUAAAAACAUUACAGGGCUCUUUUAGCUUAGCAUGGGAAGCAACAAGCAGCCAAGCAAGUACUUACCAAAAAAAAAAAAAAAAAAAAGCAGCAGCCAAGCAAGAGUCUCUCCAACCAAAGAACAAGCUACUGAGGAACAAAGAAAGACUUCAAAUCAUGUAUAUAUAUAUAUAUAUAUAUUUUUUUUUUUUUUACUCUGAUCCUACUGCUAGCAUUAAUCUGCAAUCAAGUAAUCCUGCAGUGUUGAAAAUCCAAAAGCUAUUAACUGUUAAAAUCGACAGAGUUCUAGGUCAAGAAACCAAUAAUUCAAGAACCAAAUAAGGACUCACAUCAAUCACACUUAUCUAGCAUGAUUGACAAAAUAAAGCUCUUUGGAUGGGAUCUCUUCCGGUCCAUAUGUCAAAUAGCUCAAGCUUUUUCUUUCUUCAGUAAGUAUACAAGCAUGCAAGCUAUGAUUUAAUUAUUCCUUCGCCUGGUUCUGGUCCUAAUAUAUUCUACACGAAACUCGUAUUUGAUUUUUGACUGACUAAUUAUGGUUCCCUAAUCAUGGCCAAAAUUAAAGAAAUUGUCUACAUGCUGGAACUCUGGACAUUUUUAGUAACUUCGUAAGGUUUAUAGCCAUUUCUAGACAUGUUGGAUUAUUGGAUCACAGGUGUCGUCCACGGGAAAAAAAAGGAGGGGACAGCAACACAAAUGCAACUUCACGUUUAAUGUAAUUCAAAGAAGACUUACCGGCAUAUUCUGGUGCAAGAUACCCAAAAGUUCCAGCAAGACGUGUUUCAAUAGAGCCUUUACCACCCUCAGGAGCAAGACGUACAAGUCCAAAAUCUGCCACUUUUGCCCGCAUAUCAUCCCCAAGCAGUAUAUUGGAUGGUUUAAGAUCACGAUGAAUAAAAGUUUGAUGAGCUAAACCGUGAAGAUAUUCGACCCCUCUGGCAACAUCCAAGGCAAUGCUGAGUCUCCUUGUCCACUCAAGAGGCUUUAGUCCUUCAUCUUUCCAGUUGAAAAGAUGUCUGCUGAGAGUCCCCUGAGGCAUGUACUCAUAAACGAGAAGCCUCUCAUUUCCUUCUAAGCAAUACCCCAGCAAUGCAACCAAAUGCCUGUGCCUGACCUUGGUAAGAACAGCAAUCUCAGCCUUGAAUUCAUUGAAGCCCUUCUCCGAGAUCACACCGGACUCCAUCCUCUUGACAGCAAUCUUUGUCCCAUCAUGUAAUUCGCCCUUGUAUACGGUCCCGAAACCACCUCUUCCCAAUAUGUUGUCUUGACUAAAGUUGUUCGUCACAUUCCUCAAGACCUGAAUAGAAAUGACCAUAUUCCCAGCCUCAACCACAUGAAUGUCCCCAGUCCCACCACUGCCUUGACUGUGGGUUUCACUAGAACCACCAUUAGCACUUGAUCCUGCAACAGUGAUCUUCACGCCAUUUUGGUCACCAGAAUGUCGAGGAUGUAUUACCAAUACGUUGUUUGGACUUUGCACUUUACCAGAACUCUUGGGCCUUUUUCUGUACCAAAAGACCAAACCAAGCAGCGCGAUCAAAGAAGCACCACCCACUAGAGGAGCCACAAUCCUCGCAACACUGGAUUUCUUGUUGUCAGAACCACCCGGGGAUCCCGGGGGAGUAGUCGUCGGUGAUGCAGGAGGCGCAAUGUCUUUACCUAUGUUAGGAUUACCAUCUUUAAUUAUAUUCACAUUGCUCCGAAAAGUAGGCACUUUACCGGACAAAUUGUUGUAGGAAACGUCCAGCACUUUAAGAUUAGACAGCGUUGUGAGCUCACUAGGUAUUGUACCGGUAAGACUAUUGUGGGACAGCAACAACCUCUCCAACGACGUAAUGUUAGAAUAUUCAGGAGCAAUAGUUCCAGAAAGACCCAUAUUUUGGAAAUUAAUAACAACGAUGUUGCCCCCAGAACAUGAAAUCCCUGUCCAUGAGUUACAAGCACUAUUCCCUAGCCAACCUUGAGCAAAUUUAACAGGGUAACCCAUUGGCCGAGCAAUGGAGAGCAGUAUAUUAACCAUGGGAUCACAAGGAAUGCCUGGAUUGGACGAGCAAAAACUAUUCGUACCAGUCAUAUCGACUUGAACAGCUUUAGUAUCGAAAGCAGGCAUCGAUCCCUGGAGCAAAUUAUUCGUCAGAUUGACAACCUUAAGGCUAGGAAGCUUCACCAGGGACUCAGGGACAACGCCAGUCAACUGGUUAUCCCUCACGCUGAAAUCCCACAGAUUCUUAAAAUUCGAAACGUCGGGUAUAGAACCCGUGAACUGGUUACUGUGCAACCAAACCUGUGCCAACUGGGUCAUGUUCGCUAUGACGUCUAUCGUCCCGUUGAGCUGCGAAUUCCCGGCCUUCCCAUUCAGCCAGAGGAUCUGAAUCGUCAACGUGGCGAAGCUUGCGGGCAGCCCACCUUCCAGGUUAUUGAAGGCCAACUGAAGCGCGAACAGGCUGGGGAAAUUCUCCGCAUUGAUGAAAUUGGGGAUUUGCCCGAUCACGUUCGCUUGGGUCGCGGUGAAAUUCUGAAGGGCGUUGCAAUCUUUCAGGCUAGCGGGAAUCUCCCAAGCAGCGAAGCUGUUAUAGCUUAAGUCAACCGCUUGCAGAGACGACAUACCAGUGAAGAAGUCCGCAGGAAUGGAGGUGAAAUUGUUGCGGUUUAGAAGCAACACCUGUUCCAAGAAGGGGGCCAAGAAAGCAAGAAUCACUCGCUCAUUCCCCCGAAAAUCAUCCAGAAAAAAAAAAAAAAAACAGAAAAGAGACCCACAGACUCGGUACCUGCAACUGAGCCAACCCGGCGAAACUCGGGAGGGGGCCGGAGAACUGGCUGUUCAUGACCUCAAACCGCGUCAGCUCAGUGAGGUUGCUGAUGUCCGGAGGGAGGGUCCCGGACACGCCCCGCAUACCUAUCUGGAUCCGGGUGACCCGAUUGCCGGUGCACGAAACCUGGGGCCACUUGCACGGGUCGGCGUCGGACCAGUCGAGGGAGGAAGGGAGCGUCACGCUCUUCUUGAGGGCUUGCAUUGCGUUGACGUCGCUCUGCACGGUCUGAGCAGAGGCAGCGAGGCACAGGAGGAGGAGCAGCAGCAGCAGAGGGAGGAGGAGGGCCAGGAGGGGGAGGUCCCGGCGGCGACGACCCAUCGUCGGGCGUCGUCUCCGCCGCCGAGGAGCGACGGCGGGGAACGGCGGCGGGCCCUCGACGGAGGCGGCCUUGCUGGGGCUCACGCGCGGCGUUCGGCGGAGGGGAAAGGCGCUGCGUUUCGCAGUUCGACCAUGGGAAACGGAAACUGCACGCGGAGCGAGAUGGAGAGAGAGAAGGGUGCGGUACUGUUGCUUUGAUAGAGAGAGAAAGCGAGAGGAAGCGGCGCAGAUUGAGGAUGAAGAAAAUCAAGGGAGGAAUAGAGACAGAGAGAGAGAGAAAAAGAGAGGGGAAAAUGCUUUUUAAGGAAGCGUGGGAUUACGAAGGAAAGUGCCAUGAAGAAAAAGGGAAAAUCUUCUUUCUUUCCCUUUUUUUUACUGCCAGAAAAAGAAAGGGAAUACACAUCGAACGACGAGGACCAGGAAAGACUCUCUUAUUACACCCGUACAGCUGCUUUCGUAUCGAAUACAAUCGCUUUCGGACAGCAUCUCAGGACAAACCUCGCUGUAGCAAAAAUGAAUUUAUUUUCGCCGUCCUAGUUGAAAGGACAAAAUUCGCUAAAAAUCUUAAAUUAUAUUUAUCAUAGAAUAUUUACCUCAAAUUUUUGGUGACAUCAAAAAUCCUAAAUAUUAUUCUAAAAUUAUGUAGUAUGACAUGUUUAUCCCAAACUUAUUCUCAGACACCAAAAUAGUUUGGAUUUUUUGUGUCAUAAGAAGAAAUUUAGGGUAAAUAUGAGAUUUUUGAUGUUAGAAGAAAAAAAUUGAAAUAAAUUUUGCAUUAUAGGGGUAUAAGUUUGAGUUUUUAGGUGUCACAAAAAAUAAUUAAGGGCAUAUGUGUCUUAGUGGGCAAAAAUUUAUGGUUUUUUCAUGGCUUUGCCCCUAAUUGAAAUUAGACAUAAAACCAAAAUUCUUUUCUCAUAUUAACCUCCAAUAAAAAAGGACCUACUGAUUUUUUUAAUUGAAAUUAGACAUAAAACCAAAAUUAUUUUCUUAUAUUAACCUCCAAUAAAAGGCACCUACAUUAUUUCUUGCGCCGAUAACCCAAUAUUUAUUUCCCCGCGUUGUCUCUUUUUUUCCUCAAAAAGGAUAGAAAUCGACUGUGCUCCUGUCGUAUGGAAGGGGAUGAAACGCAACAGCUGGCACAUGCGCGUGGGGCCCGCUGGGAAUUGAAAAUCAAGAAAGAAGAAAUUUUGGGUGGCGUUUAGUGACAGCAUUAGGUAUGACCUGGGAGCAAAGUGGUCGACACGUAAGGUGAAGGACCCCCUUUAUAAUAAAAGGAGUGAUAAUUUAGUGGUAUCCCGGGAGCAGAUUACGGCCUUACUCUUUAUGACUAAUAUAAUUUAGAUUUGACUAAUCGAGUGAUACGGAGCAUGAUGGCCCGAUUGCAUCGUUAAUGAUGCUCUGACUCAGGAAAAAAAUCACAUGCGACCUCGCCUAAGACAGAAACCAAGUUAUUACGUAGCUGAAUUUACUUUAAAAGCUCGCAUGUUACGCAUGGACGUUAUAAUUUACAAGUCGAGAAGUUAAGUGUGAAAAUUUACUUUUAUUACGUGAAGUAUUGUAUCGUGGGAUAUGAUAAAUAAAUUAUCGAUAAAAGCACAUAAUUCAACGGGAUGGAAAUAUGUCCGAGAUCGAAAAUUUUGUGACUGUGAAGUAGUUGUAAGAUAGAAAAAUGCUUCGAAUUUCGCCGUUAAAAAAUGCAGGAGGAUAAGGUAGAAAAAUUAAUUUAAUGCAUGUGUCAAUGCAUGACGUGUCUGUAAAAAAUAUUAAUUGCGGUAUGAAAGACCAUAUCCCAAAAGACAAAAGGGAAAUCGACGCAAUGGUGGUGGUGUGUCGCUGAACUCGAAAUUGACUUCUUCUUCUUCUCCUCCUCCUUUCAAGAACCAUUCUUUUUUACCGAUAUUUUUUUUCCAGAUUUGUUUAGAACUCGGCACCAGAUAAAAUAAAAUAUCAGCAAAAAAACAUAAUGAUAGUUUCUGGAAUAGAAGAGUCUGGGGAGGCGCGGAAGAAAUCCAAGAUCUGGUUGUCCUUUUCUGUCAUUUGGACAUUAAAAAAACUCGUCGCCCGGGGACAUUCUCGAGCCACGUGGCGACGCGGACGCGCCUCCCCGAACGUAGAAACCGUCCAAGGUUAAUCUAAUCGAAACUUCCCCCUCUCCCUCCCCUGAAUCCGGAGCCUAAUUGCCGUCGUCACCACCUGUGUUGACGAAUUUGCCCCUCCUGGACCGGCGAAAUUAUUCAUCACGGGCGGGAUGGAGGAGUUAAUGGCGUGUCUGCCGUCUGGUAUGUCUGUCAAUCCCCGAAGAAAAAAAAGUCUCUGACAGCCGCAUUCAAAUCCUGACACACUUCUCUUCUUCUUCGUCUUAUUUUUUUUUCGUCUUUUUUUUUUUUGUCUGAACCGAACCGAACUGCACCGCAUGUCAUUACUUUGCUGCUCUAAUCGAAAUUAAGAGGAGUGGUGGGCCCCACACGUGACUUCGAUUCCUAGACAUAAAUAUGAUUAGUUAGUUGGGCGAGCGGAGGUCGAGCCCGGAGCCUAUCAUUCUUGCGGAAUUUGGCCGGCCUUGGCUACUUUAAUCGGGUCCACAGAAAGAUGGAACUUUCUUAGGAAGGAGCCCCUCCUUGUGGAAUAGGGGUUUGUGUUAUUAGAGCAUGUGGCAAAAAAAUAUAUGUGCAUAAGUUGCUCUCAUGUUUAACCUACACAAUGCCAUAAUUGAAUUGAUCUUAUGUCGUCGGCGACGCGAUAAAAUUUCGCGUUUGAAUACGUGAAGUUAUGGCAAAAAGAAUAUGUCAGAUUAUUCGAUUCAUGAAUAUAAAAAAAAAAUGACUCGAUUUUAAAAGUGUAACUUAAUUCAGUUUUAGACUUUCGAGGUCAUGACAUGCUGUUUUAAGAAUUGAUUAAACGGGAAAAGAUGCAUUUCGUGUGUGGUGCGCGAUGUUGAUCUUUCUAUUUUCUUAUUUUGCAUUAACCCAUGUCUUGUUUGUAACAGCACGUCACUUGUUCAUUUAAUUGUUGUUGUAAGGAAUAUAUUCAAUUGUUUUGAUACGACACGAUAUAAAUUGAGACAUUGAAAUAAGAUGGGGACACGAAAGACUCGGGGAAUGAGACCCGGGCAGCUAACACACGCUCAACUAAACAAUUAACUCAAUUUGGGUAUUUCGUAUGUUGUCCAUUUGUUGUACCAACACCCCCCCUUCCCCCCUUCCGGUCCCAACAAAAAAACGGUGCUUUUACGGACAAUAUGUCCCACACUUCUUUAACCGCGACGAGGAAUAAAGCACUGUUUAGCCACUUCUUUUGAAACUAAGAGGUGAUCGAUGGGUGGGCCUAGACCAGUCACUUAGGUCGGGCCUCAAGUGUUGUCCAGGCCUCCUCCUCAUAAAAGUUUAUAUCAUGGUGCCAUUUUGGACCAAUAUGGCUCUACCGGGCCCAUGGGCUGUCAAGCCCAUAAUUAUGUCCAUUUGAAACUUGAUUACAUUUAUAUUAAUGAACAAAUCGCAUUGUGUGAUCCACGCAACUCUAUUCGGUGCAUCUUCAUUUGGCAUGAGAAUUUCCCAUCCGUAGAUCCUAAUUUAGUGUCAGCAUUAAGUGCCAUAGUGAUAGCUCCGUUUCAACCUAAAUAGUUCCCUCGAUUAAUCAAUAGUUGAGAGAUUAAACCUGAACCUGGUUUAUUCAUGGAAGAAUGCAGAAUGGCUUAUCCGUAUCUAUUAUGGUCAGGCCACGUAAAGUCCAAGUACUUGAUUGAUUAUUUGCCCAUCGGAUUGAUAGGAAGCCAUGGAGGAUCAACGGGAGACAAUAAAAUGAGAUUUUAUAUGAUGAGAUGACAUGCCCUAAUGCUCCGGUGCCACAACAAUUUUGAGACGAGGUCAAAAUAUCAAUGCGAAAGCUUAGCUGAUGAUUAGUCUCUUAUAUAUACUAGAGCUGUUAAAUAGGUGGGUCGGGUCGAAUUUGGGUUAGGUCAUUAAUGGGUCGAUCCAAAUGGACUCAUUAACCAAUUUAUGACCCAUUUAUAUAUAAUGUAAAUUUUUCGACCUAUACCCGACCCGACUUGACCCAUAUUAAUAAAAUAUUUUCAUAUUUAACCAAAUUUAGGAAAAAUUAUUCUUAUGUUUUUUUAAAAAAAUUAUAUUAUUAGAAAACUUCCAAGCAAUACAAAUCCAAUCAAUAAUUUUUCAAAAAAAAUUAUUUCUUAUAUAUAUAUAUAUAUUUAAAAACUAAAAUAGUUUUAUACAUUGGACAAUUUUUAAAAUAAUUAUUUUAAAAAUUGAAUUUUAAUUAUUUUUAUUUUUUUAAAAAAUCGAAUUUUAAUUAUUUUUUAUUUUUAAAUAAUUUUUUUUUCUUUUUUCUUUUUUGUUCUUCUUCUUUGGCCAGCCGGGGGCCACGAUGACGGCCAAUGGCCGACCACAGGUGAGCCUCAAGCUCACCUGGGUCGCCGACGCCGGUGACCUCAUAGCUCGCCAAAUUCGGCGAGCUCGAGCUCACUCGAUGCUGGCGAGGCUUGAGCCUCGCUGGAUGUUGGCGAGGCUCGAGCCUCGCCGGGCAUCGGUGAGGCCUUCGCCUCGCCAGAUCUGGCGAGCUCGAGCUUGCCCGACGCCGGCAAACUCGAGGCUCGCUUGGCUGGUCGCCGGUCAUCGCCGUGCCAGCGAGCGGAGGAAGAAAAAAGAAAAAAAAGGAAAGAAAAAAGAAAAAAGAAAAAAAUUAUAAUUUCGGUUAUUAUAAAAAAAAUUGUAAAGUUAAAGAAAGGAGAGGUUUUGAAAAUAAAUUGGUUGAUAAAUGGGUUUUAAAUAGGUCAGAUAUCUUAGUAUUGACUCAUUAAAACUCAUUAUGGGUGCUUUAUGAAAUAAUGCUUGACCCAUUAACGACCCAUUUAAUUAUAAAUGGGUGCAACCCAUUUAACACCUCUAAUAUAUACACAUUAACCAAUACAAGCAAAAAAUAACCUCCCGAUUUCAAAUAAAAAUACAGCAUUAUUUAAAAUAAAAGUAAGGAUUUCAAAUAUGUCACGUCGAUUGCAAAUCAUUUGUUUUGUCGAAAUCAAUUCUUAAAAGAUUUAAUUUUAUUCCUUGCACGAGAACGCUUACAAAUUUUAUAGAUAGGUAGAAUCAAAAUCUCUAGCUCCUCCAUUUAUUCGCCAUGUUAGAAUAUGUCGACCGGCCAGUCUUUGUUGCUGGGUGUUCAUCGUCUUCAUAGAGCUUCAUGAAAGCCUGCGUGAACAAUCGAAGGACCAUUACUCAACGUAUUAUCGGAUCUAGCAAAAUCAAAACCGUUCUCGAUUGUUAAGAGCUUUCGUCUCGCAUGUACCGAUCGUAGGUCACUUUUACUAUGCCGGCCACAGAGUCCGCAAUGGUCUCGAAAGCUUCCUUCGAGAGGUCGAUGGUGCCGGCACACCUGCCUGGGCAAUGGUCGACUAUCCUCACCUCAACCGACCUGCCCGUACACGGGUCUUGAAUGCCCGAGUAGGCGGCGCCAAUGCACGUCACCCUGUACGUGCUUCCACAGGCUGCCCCACCAGCCGAGAACGCGUGGCUCGCCGCAGCUAUCAUCAUGCCCUGAGGCUGGCUUCCAUAGCAUGCCGAAGCUGCGCGACCGAGGAAUUCGACGAUACAAUCGAUUAGCGGAAAAAUCAAAGGAUCACCCCGCUCAACUCUACUACAGAAACAUCUUCGCAUGAUGCACCGGAGAAACUUACGAACGUAUUGCUGGUAGAAUGUUGCCGUGCCUGAAUCAGCUAGAGUUGCCAAUGGAAUGGAGGAAAGCGCAAGAGCAAAUGAGGUUAGGACAAAGACAUGGUGAUUAGCUGCCAUCGUUGUUCUGAUUUCCUCGCUAACCUCUCGUCUGCGAAAUACAGAAAUUCACCAGAGUUCCAAGCCGCAUCAACAUUUAGUUUCAAGUACGGCUUCGUCAGGGGAACCCAUCGAGCAGGUGAGUCCCGGUGAUAUUGCUCUGAAAUUUUUUUCCCCUUGUUGCGACUAACCGAAUCGAGUUGUUUUUGUGUCGUGGUGCUCAGAUCUGCCGGGGGAAUCCAUCGAGCAGGUGAAUCCCAGUGAUGUGGCUCUGAAAUUGUUUUCCCCUUGCUGCGACUAACCGGAGCGAGUUGUUCAUGUGCCUUGGUGUUCAAAUCUACUGGCUUCGUUGGGGAAAUCCCUCUAAUAGAUGAGUCCCAGUGAUGUUGCUUUGAAAUUUUUUUCCCCUUACUGCGACUAACCGGAACGAAUUGCUCCUUUGCCGUGGUGAUUAGAUCUGCUGGUUGUGGGUUUAUUCCGCGGAAGAUCCAGUGGUUUCUCGCCCUCCAUAUGUUCCAAAGAAGCAGGGUCGUCAUUUCUCGAGCUAGUAAAGAGGUUUUACCUCGAAACGCUUCCGUGAGCCACAGAUUUGAGCGUUGAAUGUGUUUAGUUGGCCGAAUCUCUGCAUAUCUCGAAUCUUGCCAUCCAUUGACACAAGAAGAACAAAUGCUCUGUUGUUUCGAUGUUGUUGUGACAAAAUGGGUCUUGAACGAUCUUUCUUUGGUGCAGAUUUUCUCUGGUUGGGAGAGCAUUUUGACACAAGCUCCAGAGGAACGUUUGGAUUUUAGGAAAGACAUCAAGGCUCCAGAUUUUAUUCCACAAGGUGCGUGGCUGUUGGUAGGAACUAGAGGGUUUCUGGAGCUCUGUUUUAGUAGCUUGUUGAGUUGCAAUAUUGUAGCCACUUUUAACAGAGUACUGUCCCGUUUUGGUGCCUGUCCAGAGUAACAUAUCUGGCUGGGGUUGUUGACUCAGAGGAAUCGCUAAGAUUUCAUUUGCUAUGCUUGGUUCAUAAAGCUGUUGAAUUACCUGCUGCUUCCAUUCACGUGUUUCUGUGUUAAUUAGUUUUGACACCUAAAAGGGUUCUAUUUGGGAUGCUUGGUUUCUCUGCCAAUCAUGAGUCCCUGCCAUCCCCAAGAUGAUCUGCGGCCCUUAGCUGCUGUCCACACAUCGCCAUGAGGAAAAUAAAUUCCUUUAAGGAGGCGACUCCAGAGUGCUGUUGGGGAAGUGGCCAAUCUCCAGAGUUGCUUUUCAAGCAUAGCUCUGAAGGUAAGCAAAUCCUUUAAUCCCAGCCCACCAUUAUUUUUUCUAGUUUUUAAUAUUUCCCAUCGUUUCCAAUGCAAUCCCCUUUUGGCAUCUCCUUUUUGCCACCAAAAUGACGCUGUUGGUUUCUCUAUGGCUUUGUAGAUAGAAACAGGGAUCUUGAAUAUAGACAUCGCAUAGGUAGGAAUGGACUGCACUACGCUUUUUAUCAAGACCUCCUUUCCUGCCUUGGUAAGCAAUUUCUCUUUCCAGCCUUCUUAUUUAGAGUUCACUUUGGCUAGAAUCCAGCUAAACAAUUCUCGCUUAGAGUUGCCCACUCUGUAGGAAUACCCAAAUAUCUACCUGUUUUCUCCAAUACAUUUACUCUCAUCUCUGUGGCCAUAUUCAUUUUUAAAUGAUCUGGACACUGUGCACUGAAGUAGAUCCCUGAUUUAUUUAAAUUAAUGGCUUGCCCUGUAGCAUUUUCCUAGUUCACUGCAUCAAAUUGAAUGCCUUUCCUCGUUUUGUUGAUGCUAUUCGUCUUCCAAAUAUGUCAUGUAAAUCUUACUCCUGUUUUCGGCAUCAUGGAGAGGCUCAUAUUGCCAAAGUUCCCACAAUUUCCAGGAAUCGUUAUAUCUGUGUGCAUAUCGUCACAUUGAGAAUAAAAAGUGAUAGAAUGGAAUGAACAUUAGCAUAUAUAUCAAUGAAUAUGGCAAUAGAUCUUGUGAUUGUUCUCAUUAACUCAUUAUUCGGAGCAGAAGUUCUUGUUCUCCUCAAGGAUCUGUGUAACUGUUCAAAUGAAUCCAUUUCAAGGAAUCUAUGUCGAAACCUCGUCGCAAAGUAGUCAUGAUACGUUUUUUUUUUUUUUUUUUUUUUUUUCGGGUAUGGGUAGUCAUGAUAUGUCCUUGAAAAUAAAAUAAAAAAACAAUACUGAGAAUGUCCUUAUAGAACAUUAAGAACCGAAAAAAUAUCCUGUCGAAGUGGUUAUAAGAGGAAAAAAAAUACCUUAUAUGUUAAUGAACAUUGACCAUAAUAAGAGGGAUACUAGCAAUAAAUUUUUAAAUUUAUUAUACUUAUACUAUCUAAUCAUGAACCUUUCAAUUUGGCAAAUUUGAAAUUAACCAAUUUGACAAUUUACUAAUGUAGUCCAUCCGGUCACUUUUGAUUAGAAGUUGUUGACAUGGAGGCAAGCUAUUAUAUGUAGUAUGGCCGACGUUGACGAAGGACCCCCUCUCACCAAAUCCGGCCAGGCCAAUCAUCGUCGGGCCUCACUCGAAUGUGGGCGACGGCCACCCUCGCUGGAUUGGGCGAGGCUCAGCAAGGACCCUCGUCAACGAAUCCUAUGGACGAUAGCCAGCAACCAGCCAUUCCCUAAAAGAAAAGGGAAAAAACAAACAAAGAAAAGAAAUCCAAAAAAUUAUCAAAAAAUCGUAACAAUUGUCUAUAUCAAUACUAGCCAUUGACAUAAAAUGGCUAGCAUCAACAUCAAUGAUUUCUAAUUAAAAUUUAUUAGAUGGACUAUAGUGGUAAAUCAUCAAAGGUUAUGUUUGGUAGUCCAGAUUUUUAAUCAUGAUAGGAAUAUAUAAAAUAAGGUAUGAAAUUCAUGAAUUUUGUUACAUCCUAUCAACUAUUUGGUGAUUGCAAUAAUAAAGUCAAAUAUAUUCACAUAUGUCAUGUAAAUUGUUUGGUAUAAAAAGUAUAUUAGUAUAAAUGAACCAAAAAUUUUACAAACGGAAAUAGUAAAAUCUCUCACAACACUAUUUUAAUUUUCCUUAUUCUUUAAUUAAUUAAUUUUUUUCUUUCUAUCUUCCCCUUCCCCCAUUCUCUAAUAAAAUUUUAUUAUAUAGUAAACUGUACUAAUAUACCAAAAAAGCUACAAUACCUAAAAUAUCUAAAAAUAUAUUGAAAUUAAAUUAUAAAAUAGAAUUAAAUUCGAAUUAUAAAAUUAAAUUCAAAUAACUAUUUUUUUUGUUUUUUUGAAUUUAUUAUAUUAUAAUUCAAAUUUAUUUAAGUUGAAAAAUAAUAUUAAUUUUGCUAAUUUAAGAAAUUUUGUUAUUUGAGAAAAAUAACUUUCCUAUUUUAGAUAUUUUAAAUCAUAUCCACAUUUAUCAUAUCUCCUUAAUGGGAUAAUAUUAUUCAUUUUAUAUCCCCCUUAUAUGCAUUUUUCUUCUAUCUUGAGUAAGUAGUAAAUGCAAGAUACGUAUUCCGAAUUUUAUUCUGAUUGUCAAACGCAGCUAAAAGGUUUUAAGACUUAAUUGGGUAAAUGAAAAGUUUAUAAUUGAAUUUAUAUAAAUGUAAUAAGUUUAUGACUUUUUUUAGUAAUUUCGAUCCAUAAUAAGGUAUAUGCUGUCUAGCAACUUUUAUAGUUAUUUAUAUGGAGUUUUCCCUUUCAUUCAAUUGACGGUGGAAUUUGGAUUCUACUGGCGGUGGACGAUAUAAUAACCCCUAGGACAAAUAAUUAUUAAUUCCAAAAUGCUUCGUGGCAAGCCAUAGAGAAAGCAUGCGCCAUUUAUGGAUGGCCGUGCAACACAAAUUCCAAACUUAUGAAGCUAGCGACGUUGUUUUGUUCUCUUAUGUCAGUUUCUUUCCAUCAUUUCUUACCAUCUCUAGGCUGCUUGGAGACACGAGUUGAGUAGGGAAAUGGCAACACCCAAGGGGUACAGUAGGUUUUGGGGCCUCUCCUGUAUGUUAUCAUAGGGAAAAUACUCGCUCGGAAAGUUCACGACUUUAUUCAUCGACAUGGUCAUCAUCAGCUUCGCGAUGCUGAUUUCACACACGAUAAGCAAACAACAUUACAGAACCAUGCAACAUUAAUUCAAGCCAUUUAUUUAUCCAUCAUAAUCACCAACAAGCGGCCUCCACGUUGGUGUUAUCAGGUGCUAUUCAGAGAUCAGCUUCAUGAGAGCCUGCAUAAAGAAAGCCCAAGCACCAUCAGCACUUGGAGACGUACGCGAUUUAUGAUCGAAACCAAAGAGAAUAAUCGUCGAGAUCAUACCACGAAAGCUUCCUGUGAGAGGUCAAUGGUGCUGCAACACCCCGGGCAAUAGUCGACAAUGUCGGUGAUGCAGUAGACGCAAUGUCUUUACCUAGGUUAGGAUUACCAUCUUUAAUUAUAUUCACAUCGCUCCGAAAAGUAGGCACUUUACCGGAUAAAUUGUUGUAGGAAAUGUCCAGCCUUUUGAGAUUAGGAAGCUUCGCCAGGGACUCAGGGACAACGCCAGUCAACUGGUUAUCCCUCAAGCUGAAAUCCCACAGAUUCUUCAAAUUC